AUAAUGAAGUUAUAAUCCAAAGGGAAAUUAUACAUAAGCUCUUAAUAAGUGCAAGCAUGAGCUAGCAACUUACUAGACUAGACUAGAGCAUGGUAGAUAAGCAAUUAUUUAUAAUCCAAGGACUAAAAUUAAUAAUAACGAGGAGGAGGGCCUGGACCAGGAGGAUGCGGUGGCUGCGGAGGACCUGGAGGGCCAGGCGGCGGUGGGGGCUGAUAAAACAUGGCUGGCGGUGGGGGAGAUGGUGGGCCAUGUGGUGGUGGUGGAUGGUGAUGCCCGAAUGGUGGUGGUGGGGGAGCAGGAGCGUAAGGAUCCCGAGGUGGACCUGGCGGUGGUGGAUUAUAGUAACCAGGUGGUUGUGGAGGACCUGGUGGUGGUGGAUUAUGGUAACCAGGUGGCGGUGGACCUGGUGGCCCGGGUGGUCCUGGUUGCGGAGGCCAGUGCCUGUGGUCGUGGGGGUAACUCAUGCUCUUUGCUUGUAGAUGGAGAGUGGUGGUGGUGGAGAAAAUGAUUUGGUUUGCUGAAUUUAUUAAGAUAAGAAUGGAAGGUUCAAGAUUGAGAAAGAUGGGUAGGACUGAUUUACUUAUGGACUUAUGGUUGAGAAUUGGACUGGUUGUUCCUUCAAUUCAAAUAUAGCCCUGUAAACUUAACAAUAAGUAAGCUUGAAAUAAAUUUAGAUAAGAAUGUUUGCUAAGGUGGAUAUAUAUGAAAGAAAAAUGAAUCUCCUGGACCAAACACACAAGUGUUUCCUAUCACUUGUGACAGAUGGGUUUUUUAAGCUCCAUUUACAUGUUAUUGAAAAAAAAGAGGCCCAAAUUAGCUCUUUUCUUUUUAGUGUAGCAGAAAUGAGUUUUGUCCAAAAAAAAAAAAUAGUUUUAUUUAAGAAAUAAAGAUACAAUGUGUAAAAUAGAAUUUGGAUGAAUGUAGAUUUACAAAAUAGAAUUUGAGUCAAAGCGAGUUAAAUGUAUGUAAUUUAUGUUUGAAACUUUGAAUACUUUUAUUUCAAAACAAGGUUUGAUAUCUCCAAUUUCUCAACACUAGCGUAAAAAUAAGAAUUUUGUUAAGUUGGAUGAAAGUGAGUUUAAGUUACCCAAACAUUACGGCACAGUGGUUAGUGCAAGCCACAAACACAUUGAGUUCGUCAAAUUAGAAACACAAACACAACCAUUGACUCUACAAUUUUAGUCUGGUUUAUACGAUGAGUUAUGAUUCAUUCACACUCAUAUUUUGCCACUCCAUUUCUAUCUAUACUUUCUAUACAUUUUUCUUUUCUCAUUCAACUAUACUCAUCACAUCUCUUAUUUUUCCAAUUUCUUUCUCAUAUGUCACUCUUUUCACCACUCUAUUCCCACUAAUAUGGAAUGUGUUUGAUACUUUUCUUCUAUAUCUACUUGGAGCAGCCAACUAAUUUUUUUUAUGAAUGAUCCUUUAGGUAAACACUUUUCCGCCAAAUCCAAUUAUCUUUUGAAAUGUUACAAUUACAAUAUUUCUAUUAAAGAAUAUUUUUAUGAUGUAGAUACUAUAGAUUGUCAAAACAUCUAAUAAUUUUUUUCAAACUACAUAAUAACAAUUGAUUUUAUUAACAAAUAAAAAAAUAAAAUCUGAGGUAGAUGUGUCAAUCCAUGUUAUGCUGCAACCUGCAAGUGUCAACCCCAAGCGGUGCAACUUUUUGUUCAAUUUUCAGUCUACAAAUCCAACACCACCACCUUCCCUUCCACCGAACCACAACACAAACUCUUCCGUUAUCCUAACUAACCUUAAUGGGGCCCACACACGAUGACUCUGGCGCCAAGCUCCGCCUAAUGUGCAGCUACGGCGGCCACAUCCUCCCCCGUCCACGCACCGCCACCCUCUGCUACGUCGGCGGCGACACCCGCAUAGUCUCCGUCGACCGCCGCGCCGUGACCACACUCUCCUCGUUAGGCUCCCACCUCUCCUCCGCUCUCUCCCUCGACUUCCCCUUCGCCGUCAAGUACCAGCUCCCACAACUCGACCUCCGCUCCCUCAUCUCCCUCUCCUCCGACAGCGACUUCCGCGCCCUACUCGACCGCCACCACCGCCUCUCCUCCCCGAGAAUCAGGCUCUUCCUCUUCCCUCUUAUCCGCCACCCCAAGACUGAUUCUUGGUUCUUCGAUGGUGGUAACUUCUUGCACCCUGAGGUUCACCGCUUUGUCUCCUCUGCUCCGCCGCCUCGUGAAAGCGGUGUGGUUUUGGAGACUAGUUCGUCUUUUGAGUCUUCUUCUUCUUCAGCUUCCUUCACCAGCUUGCCUCCAAGGUACGUACUCUUUGUUCUUGAUAGGUGAUAAUGUGAUAUGAUAUUGGUAAUCUAGUUUGAUUGUGAUAGCCAUAGCUGUGAGAUUAACCUUUGGACUGAGAGUGAGUGAUAGUUAAUUAGGUGAUCCAAGAAGCUCUCUCUAGAGCAGUGUUGUUUAUUGCGGAUGGCGGGUCAUGGUGGAAAGCCCAUACCCCACAUACAUGACGAGUAAUGGCAGAAUAUGGCGGAGGCGUAAUAUUGCUGCCAUAUGGCGUAAUAUUGCUGCCAUAUGACCGGAUAUCGGCCAUGGCGGAAAGUCUAAAACCGCUAUGAGAAACUGCUGCCAUGGCGGAUAUUUGAUAUCACUGCUCUAGAGUGAUGAUGACUAAGGUUUUGAAUUGUGGUGGUAGUUGCGGUUGUCACCUUCAGCUGGCCACAAUAUGUGAUUGUUAAGAUCCUGAAAACCAUGGCAUUGCAUUGUGAUUUUGAAACUUGGUUAUAGCUAUAAGACUCAACCCUUUUAACCCUUGAUAUUUUAGCUAAAGAAUGGCCAAGGGUUAAUAACUUUUUAUACAAGUUACAUGCAUAAAUCUUUAAACAUUUGAAAGAAUGGAUGUGAGGGUGAGGCAUACUAUUAUAUUUAGUAACAUUUUUCACAUGGAUCUCACUUGUAUGCAUUCACACCUUUUGUAUUCAAAUUGGUAAAAAUUUCUUGGUGCUAACUACUGAAUGGCAUUGCUGAACAGCCAAUUGAUGUGUUCUAGUAGAUGAAGAUGUGAGAAUGCCUUUUUCUUUAUUGGUUAAUGGUUGUGUUUUAUUUUUGUUUCAGUGAUAAUUGUGUUUCAAGUAUCAUGUCCCACCAGCAGAACAUAUCUCACCAAGACCCUGUGGUUCAUAUUUCGGAGGCAAGACUCAACGCUGAAUCCAUUGAAGUUGAAAGCGAAAGUCCUUAUAUUAUUUCUGCUGGGGUCAUAGCUAAUAACACGAAAAUUGGUAUAGGGUAUUCUGCAUUUCCACAGCCUAAUCAAGUGGAGAGGUCACAUUUGCAGCCUGUGCAAGCUGCUGCACAGGUUUUACCCCUUCACCCGAGUGGCGUGUUGCCAGUACCAUCUUAUCAGCUCAUUUACCAGCAACCACAUCCUUUGCAGCAUCCAACUUAUCAUAUUAAUCAACCAAGCCCUGUCUACCUUGUGCCUGUUGGAAACAUGCCUCUCAAUGCUUCUAACCAAGUUUCAUUGAACCUUAAUGCUCCCUCUAUGAAUUUUCAUGUAGAUCAAGACUCUGAGGUGGGAGCAAGGUGUCAUUUUGCUCAUGGUUCUUUUGCCUCCCAGAAUUACUUAACAGAUAAUGCAACCAUAUCUUUUGUUUAUGUACCGUACAAUGGAAGUAAGCAGCCAGAAAUGGAUAUUUAUCCAAUGCAUCAGCAAUCUCAGACUGUAUCUAUCACGGAGUUUCCCAAGGAUGGAAAUGAACUUGAUGAUGAGCUUGCUCAUGAUCAGAUAUAUAAAUCUCAGCCCCCACCUCCGACAAUGCCUUCUAAGCACCAAACCAUGAUAAAAGCUACAACAAACCUUGUAUCAGAGGCUCUUGCUCAAUUGCAAGGGGAUGACCUCAAGCAGCAGACAGAAACAACAUCAUGACCACAUUGAUUCUAAUGUUCUGGAAGAUAUAUAUAGUUUGGGUAGAAGUUUUACAGUGACUUUGAAGUUUUCUUUUAGUUUCUCUUCGUAUGUACUAGUAUUUCUUGUCUCGCAAGUGGCAACACACUGUGAGUGUAUAAUAUAGUGAAUUUUCCUAGUACUUCCUUUUUUUCUUUUUGAUAUUUGUAUGGUGUUAACUCUCUUGUUUGAUAUGUAAGCCUUCAAAAAUGCCAAAUCUUAUAGAAAGCUACGUAUGCCUAUUCCCCCAAUUGUUUUCCCUGAAUUUCAUCAGCAAAAUCGUGCUGACAAAAAAUAUGGAAUAAGAACUCAAAAUGGAUUUUAUAAAUUGUACAGUGUGCUGACAAAAUUGUGCUGACAUUGAACUUUAUAAAAAUUGGAAUAAUUUAAAAGAUUAGAACUAAAAAAACUUAGUAAAAAUUGAAGAGUUUAACUUUGAUGCAUCAAUUAAUCAUUUUCUGACAUUCUUAAAAUCUAAUUCGUUGACAGUGCAGAUUUCUCGAAAAAUAAUAUUAUUUGAUAUAUUUUUCUUGAAAAUUGAUAUUAUUUGAAGAAUUUUAUACUACUCGCUAAGGGUUCAGGGGGGGAUUUCGAGCAGGGAUGUGUUGGGAUAUCAAAGGUGAAUAAGAAAUUUCAAAUUGAAGGAAAAAAUGUUGAGUCGUUCAUAAGAUAAUACACAAAAUGUUUUAAGGUUUUUUGUGAAAGAUGUGAUGUUCAAUUUAUAAGUAAAAUGAUCCAUACAUAUAAUGUCUUAACGUUUUAGAUGAAAGACGUGACGUCCAAUCUACUUGUGUGUUUUGCUUUUUAGCUUGAUGUGGAGAUUUCCAAAGUUUUAUGUCUCUCACUGUCCAACAAUAUGCAAUAUUUUGAAUAGAAUAUGAUAAUUUAAUAAUUACAAAUGGAAAAUAACUUUUGGAAGAAUUUAAUUGCAAUAAUAUAAAAUUGAAGCAUCAAUUAAAACAUAUCAAACUUUUGUUUAGGGAAAAUAAGUAAAUUUUGUUUUUUGGUUGGUGGAAAGAGGGAAAAGCGAGAAGCGCGCAAUUCCUUCCAGUUAAAAAAAGAAAGAAAGUGAAGAAAAUGCAAUUGCAUGGCGUUGAUGGUCGUUGUUGUUGGAAGUUGGCAACCGAAUGCAGAUCAGAUCAGGGCCAAAAUGGAUGUGGAGAGAGCUUCGCUGUGCAAUCUCGUCGUCAACUUCCUCUUAGAGGAAAACUACAUCCUCACAGCGUUCGAGCUCCUCCACGAGCUUCUCGAUAAUGGUCGCAACAAUCAAGCCAUUCGCCUCCAGCAAUAUUUCUCAGAUCCCUCUCUCUUCCCUCCCAAUCAAAUCUCUCGCUUUAAUUCUCUCCCAUGUAUUCUCUGAAUCUUCUCUAUUCCAUUUUUCUCAAUUUCUUUGUAUUUUGUUUUUCAUUCUUUGAUUGAAUUCCAAAUUUGCAGUGGCGGAUCCUCAAACUUUGCUCCAGCAAAAAGAAGCUGCUGAAGAAAAGCUAGCCGUUACUGAUUACGAGCUACGUUUGGCGCGAGAAGAUAUUGUCAAACUCAAAUCUGAAUUGCAAACCAAAGUAGAAUGCCUUAAUCAACUAUACGGUACGGUGUGUAGUUUUUUUUUUUUUUUACAUAAUUAUACUUAAGGAAGGAAGGAAGGCUUAGUUUUCUUGUUGGAAAUUCAACUGUGAGUUUAGCGUCCACAUUCAUUAAGAAUUGACUAUAAAUGUAGUGGUUAGUGUCGUGAACUAAUUUUCCCAAAAGUUUAAGUUGCACAUGAAUGAUUAUAUUUCUAACACGCGUCCUCAGACAAGAGUCCAUUUUGGCUUGGAGCGUGAACAGUGCACAGACUCACCUACCAUGUGCAGAAAUUUCAACUUUUAUAAGAAGAAUUUGGGGCGGCAAUGAUUGAACUUUAGACUACUUCAUCAUAGAGGCUCUGAUACCAUGUCAUGAACCAAUUAUCCGAAAAGCUUAAGCUGUUGGGUGAAAUCCACAUGAAUGAUUAUAUUUCUUAGAGUUAGUUCUCUUUAAUUAUGGUCUUUCAAUGCAUGUUAUCCUGAUGACAUGCUUCCCUGUUAAUUCCCAACACUUCUCAAUAUUGUUUAGUGUUUAGUUUUGUUUCAUACAUGGUAGGUGAGAAAAGGGACAAUGGAUAUGCUAAUGCUACAUGUUGCCAUUAACUCUUAUGGUUUUGGUGACAACCAUUGUCUAAGGCUAAUAAUGUUAUUUACUUAUAUGCUUAAUUGCAUGGUCUAUAAGGGGAUUUGGCUCCUUUUCUAAAGUGUGAGGCUGAACUUUAGAGGAUAAAGUUUAAGGACUGAUUGAAAACUUAUUUGGUAAAAUUUUGAUAAUGUAUGUGCAUAUAACAAAGUAUAAAGAUGUUAAAAUAUUAAACCAUAAGAUAUAACUCCUCUAGCAGCAUAUGACCCACAACACAGCAGUGUCAUUUGUGUUUGUUCUGGUUGAUGCAGCCAAGUCAAGUGGAGAUGCUUCGGUCAAUAAUGAGCUACAAAUUCAACAACGAAAUGGGGAUAUUUCAUUCACUUAUUUGGGCCCACUGAGGGAUAGUGAGCGUCGAGAUCUUAAUUGUGCUGUGAAGGAAUAUUUGCUUAUAGCCGGCUACCGUCUUACUGCUAUGACAUUUUAUGAAGAGGUAGGGAUUAGGAAAUUUAUUAACCUUUUUUUUGUCCUUACACCUGUGAAUUUUUUAGUUUUGUCUUAUGUUUUUCUUGUGCAAUUCCGUCAGCUUUUAAUAAGUUAAGGGAUACGAUAAUAUCAGUUUGUUACUUUCACAUUUUAUCAGCUCUGGACUAGUUUAUUUAUUUAUUUUUCCCAUCACCUGAUAUAUUUAGCAUUUAGGAAUGAAGAGGUUAGUGGCUGCGGUGUUAUGCGCAUGGAACUUAGACUAAUCAAAUAUGAUCUUAUAUGGAAUCUCUGGAUCAAGUUAUUUAUGGAGUGCUGUGAUGCAUAGCUCUUGUUGUGACUUGUGACAAAUGGAACUAAGUUCCCACCAUAAUAUGCACAGAUCCAAAUAUCCAACCAGGAAUAGAUUUUGUUAGCAGGGUAGUUCUUGUGUUUGUAGAAAAAAAAAUGCUCUCUAGGUAUUAUUUCUGCUAGACAAGUUUGUGUAUCAUAUGCCAUUUUUAGUGCUUAAUGUUGUGCAAUGUUUAAUUUGCAACUGUCCCUGCAGGUUACAGACCAAAACUUGGACAUUUGGCAGAAUACACAUGCAUUAAUACCAGAUGCCUUGCGUCAUUAUUAUUAUCAGUAUCUUUUAUCUACUUCAGAGGCUGCUGAGGUGAUUAUUUAGGCCAGUUUGCUAAUAAGUGAUCCAACUGGCUGUUUAUUAUUUCAUGGCUUUGCUCCCCUAAACAAGGUUUUUCAUUGUUCAGAAAGUGAAUCUGUUUUUAGUAAAAUAAUUAAUUUUUAGAUAUAAAACAAUACACUACAGGAGGAUAAGAAUUCCUCCUGUAGCAACCACAAAAGGUAAAACAAAAAUACAUACAAAAAAAUAAUUACAUCAGCUCGCAGAGCUCUUCGAGCCUCUUAAAUACCUGGCUAGAAUAAUAAAUGAAGAGUUAACUCUUCAAUAGAAGCCCAAAAGAAGAAGUUUUUUUUUUCUAACAUAGAGAAAAUUUAAGAGAGAACCAACCCUGGCAAAUGAAAAAUGUUAUCAGUGGAAUGAAAACGUGCACUGAGCUCUCUGUUCACUUUGAACAAUAUAUUAUGCCCCCCAAUUAUUAUCUGUCACUUGAGUUCAAUACUCAUUUUGUUAGUUUGUCAUUGAUAUAGAAAAUGAGGACAUACUUUUCUCAUUUUUUGGUAUAUCCAUAGAUUAACAGAAACAUUAGAAAUGGAGUUUAACAUAAGAAUCUCCGUGGAAAAGCACUGCCCUGAUUGCUUAUGUUAUGUCUGCUUUAAAUAAUACAUUACUUUCCAGUGAUUGUUAAUCAGCCUCUUUAAUUCAAAAAGCAACAAACCUAUUUAGGGCUUCAGCAUCUGCACUGAACAGUGUAUGACAUUCUUCAACACAUGGUUAAGUUUCCAAAUCAGAGGCACACUGAUGAUGUGACAAAUUCCCAAGUUCACUGAUUUUCCAGUUGUAUUCGAUUGUAUGUUCCUUUUUUAUAAACUUUCUGGUACAGAUGAAGAUCUUGCAAGGCCUCAUCUUUCUGUGCUGUGUUAUUAUAGUUCCAAGUCUCGGCUAUCCGUUCAUGCAUUGUCCCAUGCUUUCCAUUGGCUUCCCUUGUAACUUUUUCAGUUUCUGUUUUGUUUUUAUUUUCUGGAUUUCUCAUCCACAUAUUCUUCAUCAUAUCUACAAAUAGAAAACUAACAUAGUCCAAACUACUUCAAGUACAAUAAGAUUCAGUUUAAAAGUUUCCUUUCCGAUCAAUGAAUGAAAGUUCUUUAUAAUGUGGGGGAAUCGAUGGACUUGAAUUGAAUUUUGGUAUCUGAAGAUGUAGGUAAAUGUAAUCAUAUAAAUCCUGUAAUAUUAAUUUCAAAUUUCCGUUUAUGUUGAAUCAGAUAUGAAUGAAUAUGCAGGAAAAAAUAGCCCAAGUUCUAGAAAAUGAAACAUUACUGAAAGCAAAUCAGAGGCUAAGUCAAGAAAAGGAGAGCUUGUUGAAGGGCAAAGAUUUGAGUGAUGGUCAAAUAGGAGCAUUAACUAAAUCCUUGGAGACACUACAAGGAGAUCUUAAACACAAAGAAGACCUGGUAGUUCCUAUUCCUUCUAAAAGAUUAUGUCAAACAGUAAUAUUCUAUUAUGAAUAGUAUACUAAUAUUAACUUUUAGGUGCUAGUUUUAAAUAAGUCUUUGGAGAAUCAAAGAGAGGAGCUCCACGCUAGCAGAGUUGAGACCAGUAAACUGAAAAUGCAUAUUGAAGGGUCUGGUUCUGGGAAGAAUCUGGUUGUUAGUGAUGUUGAUAAUUUCCAACCUGAGUCUAUAGAUAAGUACAAGGAAGAAAUUAAGAAAUUGCAGAUGGAAAUUGAAGGGUUGAAGGAAAAGAACAAAGGACCUCCUGAAAAUGGAAUAUUUGUCCCUGAAAAUGAAAUUAUGCAGACAGAAGACAAAGUGAUUGAGAUUCACGAGGACCAAGGUGCAAUAUCUCAUCCUGUUGAGGUGGCAUUGGAUGUUGUACAAGAUGAAGAUGCUCAUUCACCGGUUGUUCAAACUCUUAACUACUAUGCUGAUAAACACAAAGAUUCACAACAUACAUUAUUUGAUCCUGCAAAUGCAAAUAGUGCUUUUGAAAGUAUUGAAAAUGUCUCUGCACAUGAUGGUGGCAAGCAAGAACAGGAUAGCAGGUGUGCUAAAUCAGGCAAUGUGGAUGAUGAAGCAAUAUCUGAGAAGAAAGUGAGUCAUUUCUACUUGAGGAAAUCCUCGAACAUAUUUAAGAAAUUCUUUCUCACACACAUAUAUAUGGCCCUUGUAAAAUUAACACACUUUAACUUUUAGAUCCUAUAAAAUUUUUAUUUACUUGUAGUCUUUAGCAAAUACAAAAGUCAUGUGGUUUUUGUCGGGUUUAGGGACUGAAACCGACACACUCUAAUAUCAUAGGGACUAAAAACAUAUUUUUCUUAUAAAUAUUUUAUAUUUCUUGAUUCUUAAACCAAUGUCUUGAGAGCUGAGGCACUCAUUAGUAAGACCUAUCUUCUUUACAGUAUCAUCCAAUUAUGUUUUGAAACAUUCUUACCAGAGUUUUAUUUGAUUACAAUUAGGUAAGAAGUGAAACUGAAUGGUUGGGAUUGGUUUUGUUCAAAGCUUGCUCUUGUUUUAAACACAGUCUACUGGCAGUGUCUUUGUAACACUGCUUUUAUACAUAUAAAGCUCAAUAUCUCCCUCUGUCCCUGAAAAGAACAAGUGAAAGUCAGUCUGUUAGAGUGUUUAAAUGAAAGAUAACUGUUUUUGUCUACAUCAUAAUGUAAAUUUAUGUUUUUUGUUUAAUGUGUUUAUAUUUUGACAGGGGUUAGGAACCAUUCAGAUACUUGCAGACGCUUUGCCUAAAAUUGUUCCUUAUGUCUUGAUCAACCAUCGUGAGGUUUGCUACUCACUAAAUUUAUUUACACUUUCCCAACAUAGAAUACACAUUGGAGACCACCAUGAUUUAAAUGAUUUGAAACUUACCUUUCUAAAUUUNNNNNNNNNNNNNNNNNNNNNNNNNNNNNNNNNNNNNNNNNNNNNNNNNNNNNNNNNNNNNNNNNNNNNNNNNNNNNNNNNNNNNNNNNNNNNNNNNNNNNNNNNNNNNNNNNNNNNNNNNNNNNNNNNNNNNNNNNNNNNNNNNNNNNNNNNNNNNNNNNNNNNNNNNNNNNNNNNNNNNNNNNNNNNNNNNNNNNNNNNNNNNNNNNNNNNNNNNNNNNNNNNNNNNNNNNNNNNNNNNNNNNNNNNNNNNNNNNNNNNNNNNNNNNNNNNNNNNNNNNNNNNNNNNNNNNNNNNNNNNNNNNNNNNNNNNNNNNNNNNNNNNNNNNNNNNNNNNNNNNNNNNNNNNNNNNNNNNNNNNNNNNNNNNNNNNNNNNNNNNNNNNNNNNNNNNNNNNNNNNNNNNNNNNNNNNNNNNNNNNNNNNNNNNNNNNNNNNNNNNNNNNNNNNNNNNNNNNNNNNNNNNNNNNNNNNNNNNNNNNNNNNNNNNNNNNNNNNNNNNNNNNNNNNNNNNNNNNNNNNNNNNNNNNNNNNNNNNNNNNNNNNNNNNNNNNNNNNNNNNNNNNNNNNNNNNNNNNNNNNNNNNNNNNNNNNNNNNNNNNNNNNNNNNNNNNNNNNNNNNNNNNNNNNNNNNNNNNNNNNNNNNNNNNNNNNNNNNNNNNNNNNNNNNNNNNNNNNNNNNNNNNNNNNNNNNNNNNNNNNNNNNNNNNNNNNNNNNNNNNNNNNNNNNNNNNNNNNNNNNNNNNNNNNNNNNNNNNNNNNNNNNNNNNNNNNNNNNNNNNNNNNNNNNNNNNNNNNNNNNNNNNNNNNNNNNNNNNNNNNNNNNNNNNNNNNNNNNNNNNNNNNNNNNNNNNNNNNNNNNNNNNNNNNNNNNNNNNNNNNNNNNNNNNNNNNNNNNNNNNNNNNNNNNNNNNNNNNNNNNNNNNNNNNNNNNNNNNNNNNNNNNNNNNNNNNNNNNNNNNNNNNNNNNNNNNNNNNNNNNNNNNNNNNNNNNNNNNNNNAAUAAAUAUAAAAAUAUUCAUUUUAUCAUUGAUCCACGAAAACUGAUCGAGAAAACUGUUAACCGUUACUCGAUGGAUAUUUUUAAAACACGUUAAGGGAUAGAUUGAGUAAAUUUGAAACACGUUAAGACCGAACUAAACUUAAUAUUGCAAAGUUAUCAAAUUGAUGUCUAUAAGUAAGAUAAAACAUUAAGGCAUAGAUGGAAGAUAAUAACAACAUAUAAGUGUUUCACUAAUUAAAAGUGUAUGUUUUAGUAAAUAUACCAUUGUAUUAUUCCAUAUAUAUCAAGUACUCAAUGAUGAUAAUUAACAAUUGAUUUGUUAAAAAAUUACCCGUGCAUCGCACGGGCAAACGGGCUCUAUCCUAGUAGAUGAAUAAUUAAGACUGAGCAUAAGUGAAAACUAGAAUUUGAUGCCUCAAGAGUAAGGAGAUCUAUAAAUUGACAAGGGUGGUUGAAUCAUGAUAGUCAUAUUAUGACGUUUUUAAGGUGUAAUUGAUUUAACUAUUUACUAGAAUGAUGUAGAUUUGUUAAAGUAAAUUCUCUAGGUGAUUGAUUUUUUACCAUAAUGUUGUUUGAGUUUAAGAAAUGAUAAUGAAAGUAUGUUUUAUAUGUUUUUGAUUUGUUAAAUAAUCUUAGGAGAUUUUUGGUUUGGUACUUAGGUAGGAGAGGAGAGGAAAUGAUAAAGAAUGCGUAAUUGGUUUAAAUCGUGUUGGUUCAUUUAAGAUAAGUAUGAUGAAAAUGACGAGUACUUUUAAAGACAUUCGUAACCCUAAUAAUUAAGGUUCGGUGUUUAGGGAAAUUGUGGAUAGAAAGGGCGACACCCAUGGAGUUCAAAAUGACAUACCCAUAAAAAGGGGCGAAGAAAUAUUUCAAUUUUGAGAAAACUAAUUAUAUUAUUGUUUAGUUGAGAAAUGUGAAAAACACGUAACUGGACACAAAGAACGAGGAAGAGAUAGUGAUGUGGCAAGUGAAGACACACUCCACCUUCAUACUUCAUGCACAGUGUCUUGGGGGUUUUGGACUGGAAAAUGGUGAGCUGACUAAAAUAGAGCGGACUAAGGCGGCCGAGUUUAUGCGGAGCAGAUUGAUGGGAUGUCAUUGCGAGCUAUUCAUACACACUUAGCAUUCAUACUUUAGGCACAAUCCCUUAAGGGCUUUUGGACUGGGAAAUAGCGAAUUGUUUGAGAAAGAGCGAAUCGAGGCGACCUAGUUUGGGCAGAUUGAUGAGAUGUCAAGGUGAGUUAUUCAAACACACUUAGCUUGCAUACUAGAGCUGUCAAUACGGGCCAGCUCGACCCAUAUAGGUCAGCCAGUAUGGGUUGGGUUGGAAACGAGUUGGGUUGUGUCAACCCGGGGUCUUAACGAGCCAGGAAAAUAUGAACCCAACCCGGCUCGUUAUGAGCUCGCGGGGUGGGGGGCCAAAUAAAAUAAUUAUUUAAUAAAAAAAGAACUUUAACCCGACGGGUUGGCUCGCUUGACCCGCGGGUUGGCCCGUCUAACCCUUAAACGAGCCUGGUUGCACUAACCCAAGUUCUUUUCGAGCUGGAAUUUAACCAACCCAACUCGGCUCAUUUAGCCAACCCGUCGAGCUGGUCCGCGGGUUGGAACUCAUAUUGACAGCUCUAUUGCAUACUUCAGGCACAGUGUGUUGUGACCUGGCCAAUGCCCGUUCAAAUGACGUCGAGAUAUAUCAAGGACACAACGAGCUAUUCAUGCAUACUUUGCAUUCAUAUUUCAGACACAUUGUCUUGUGUGGACUUGUGGACUGGUCAGGAGUGACUAGCCAUGGCCUAAUGAGCGACUCCAUAUUCGACACGAGACUCUCCAACGAGCGAUCUUCUCGACAUAUUGUUGAGUCAGAUUUCACAAGUCAUGUUAGCCAUUUAUAUAUCACACACGCCACGUUGGCUAAGUUGUAUGUAUUGUCAAUUCCAUGUUUGUGAGUUGUGUAUUAUAGAGUCUUAGGCUACCCUACCUUCCUUCUAGGUCAGUUAUGUUAGCUAUUGACUUUGAAGUCCAAAUUCGUGUAUUUAGGGUUACACUAUUCUAUUUAAGAGGAUAAGACCACUUGUAAUACUGAUGUUCAUUAUCAUAAUACAAAAGCAGCUAGGUUGUAAGGAAUUCAUACUUCCUAUAGAGUUCCAGCUUGGUUAUCUCCAUUAUUCACUCAAAAGCGAACCCUAUCAAACAUAACUAGCAUCAUUUUAACUCACAUUUACCACUUACGUAAAUUUAGUUGAAUCAAUUCCAAAAUCAUAACAAAGAGUGUUGUUUGGUUGCAAUUCUCAAACAUGGAUCUGAACUCCACAUGUGGAUCUCUAUUGUUUUGAAAAUGAUUGAGAACCAAUUUUGAGAAUGAAUUCUACAAGUUUGAUCCGGAUCUAGCAGAAUUAACUUGAGGUAGCUUAUCUAUCUGUGUGGCCGAUUUUGUGUAUUUAUACUAUAAUUUAGUUACGAAAAUCAAUUAUGAGUAAAUGUAUUCAAACAUAAAUCACAUCACUUAAACUUACAUUACCUAGUUCAAUUCUAGUCAGAUUCAAUUCUCCUAACGCUGAUCCAAACACUUUUGAGAUCAUUUCAGGUAAGUGUACAUACAUAGAGACAAUCGUUGAAUCAAUGAAUGACCCAAAUAGGGUGCUCUGCAUUGUACUAUAUUUGUAUGGUAUCCAUGGAUAAGUGACAGCUAGGGAGUAGACCCAAAUAGACAAGUAUGUAUCAAGUACACCCACCACUUGCGUAGGUUUAUCCGCCGCGUGUGUCUUAUACACAUAGAUCCUCCUUCCACGAAUCCAAACGAAUUUCCGUGCUGUCCUACUUCAAAUGGACUACCAUCCAACUCACAAUCCAAUCUUUCCUUAAACAAACACCCUUUUGCAUCGUCAUGAUGGAUAAUAUCAUACAUAUCUAUCUUGAUCUUCCGUAACAGUAACGAUCAUCAUUCUUAAUCAAUAAUUCACAUUCACAUUUCAUCAAACAAUACAUGUGCAACAAACUAAGGUGAACGAACCAACAUCAAGCACCAUCAUCAUCGAAAUCAGAAACCAGAAACCAGAAACCAGAGAUCAAUCAAUGGAUUGUGUUUCUGAUAAUGUUGUGAUCGAGCACAAGGCCUACGCGAGGGUGGGUUUGCUCGGAAACCCAAGCGAUGUCUACUACGGCAACACGAUCUCCUUAAACAUUGCCAACUUCUACGCCACCGUCAAGCUCGUUCCAUCCAAGGACCUCUUCAUUCAGCCACACCCCAUUCACGAUCUCGUUCAUUUCGAAUCGCUUCGUCAAAUGGUUUGUUCUGUUCUCAACUCUGAUCAUGAAUCCCAAUAACCCCACCUCGUUGUUUCGCUGAUUGCAUGGCGUUUUUGUUCUGUGUGUGUGUGCAGGUGGGAAGGGUUAACAGCGAUGGUUACUAUGGUGGUGUGCGGUUGCUCAUGGCGAUUUGCAAAGUUUUUCACAAUUAUUGUAAAGAGAAGAGUAUUGCCCUUCAUGAUAGGAAUUUUACCCUCUCGUAUGAUACUAAUAUCCCUCGCCAGGUAUUUGAAAUAAUCAAAUGUGAUCAAUCUACUUAUUGCAUGUUUGGAUCAGCUUAUUUUUCGUUAGAAUCAAUUCUGAAACUCAAAAGUAGAAGCUACCCAUGAUUGAUUUUGGCUUCAAAAUCAAACACGCAGACAUUAGUUUGCUUCAUUAGCUUAGUACAUUUAUAAGAUAGUAUGUAAGAAUAAGAUUAAUAGACAAGAUAUAACAUAAUAGUAAUAUCUAAUAUGUGAAUUCUGUUCUGUCUGAUGUGUGUUAGAAGGAGACAACAGUUUGAUUUUUUUAUUACAAUUUGGUUCUGUCCAGAAAGAGAAAGGAAUAGAUCUGUUCUGUUUUUUGGCUGAUUGACAAAUGCUACAAGGAUUGAAAAACCCACCUUUUAUUUAUGCUGAUGUUGUCUUCUACUCUGUUAUCUUGUCUACCCUGUUAUCAUGAUGCUUGUUAAUUAUUUAAUUUUGUGAAAAGUUUGUUUUCUAUUUUUUCAAGUUGCUAUUUUAUUGUAUGGCUUAAUAAUGUUCUGAAUUUUGUGUUUCAGAGUGGACUUUCGGGUUCUAGUGGGAUUGUAUGUGCUGCCUUGAACUGCUUUCUUGAUUUCUACAAUGUCAGGCAUCUGAUCAAGGUGGAAGAAAGGCCUAACCUUAUCCUUGCAGCUGAGGGAGAGCUUGGAAUUGUUGCUGGUCUUCAAGAUCGGGUAGUGCAAGUUUAUGGCGGCCUAGUUUACAUGGUACAUUGCUUAGCUUCAAACUUUUGUUUCAAGUGUGUAUGGUGUACCGAUGAAUUACGUGAUGUGAUUUUCUCUGCUUUUGUAGGACUUCAGCAGGGAAAUCAUGGAUAAGAAGGGGCAUGGAAUUUAUAUACCCAUGGAUUUGAGCCUUCUCCCACCUCUGUAUCUCAUAUAUGCAGUAAAUCCUCGUGAUUCUGGGAAGGUCAGUGGCAUGGAAUGGCUUCAUCUUUAUUAUUAGAGGAUGCAAGCUGUACAGUAAUGUUAUCACAUCUAAUUAGCAUGUUUUGUUUCUUGCAAAUAUGUUUUUCAAGUUAUAUUGCAUUGACUUUCACAAAAUUUCAGAUCAUUAUCCCCAAAAUAAGAACCUUCUGCGGUAAUUUAUAGUCUGUAGCUAAGAAAAUUUAUCUGAUUUAGUUUUUACUGCUAAAUUGUUGGCAUUGGGCUGAGAUGAAAUGUAUGUUGGAGGUAGCACAAUAAAGUGAUUAGAACAUGAGAAUCUUCCCUCGCAGUUCCAUGAGAAUCUUCCCUUAAUAUUUUUGUUUUCCCACAUAUGAAUGUUAACUGACACUACCCUGUAGGUUCAUAGCAAAGUACGGCAAAGGUGGCUUGAUGGUGAUAAGUUCAUCGUGUCAUCAAUGCUUGAAGUUGCAAAUAUUGCAAAAGAAGGAAAGACAGCAUUAGAAGAAAAGGACUAUUCCAAAUUUGCAGCUCUCAUGAAUCGAAAUUUUGAGCUACGAAGGUAAUUCUUAGUUUAUUUUCCCUCAUUAUGUAUAAAUGCACUUAGACCAUUUAUUAUAUAUGAGUGAUAGGUAUUGCAACAAAUGAUACAUCUUUGGAACUUGUAUGAGGUUUCAAACUGCAACUUACUCAUUGGUAGGUAGUCAUUGGUUCUAGACUGAGACCAGCAUAUAGAUUAAACCUCUAGUAUAGCCAGCCUACUAAUCGCAUAACACCAUUAUAACUAAUACAUGAAUGCACAAUAAACAAAAAUCUAAAUUAAAACAAGUUCUUACCCAGUCAGUACUUAAAGUUUAGAACAUGGGAGUCAAUGGCCUCAACAUCUACUGUAAAACAGGGCAACGCUAAUCCAUAUGAAAGAAGACAAACUCCAUUGCUCGCUGCCUAACUUUUGGAUAAUCUGUAAGUUUUAAAUGAGGUGAGGUGGUCACACCAAGGAAAUUAAAAAUUAAAGUGACAAAAUAAAAAGUACUUCAAACUUUGACAAUUAUGUUUCAAAAAUAUAUACAAGGCUACUCAAUAAGUUAUACAUGAGUAUCCUUUGCAGAAACUUUAAGGACCACAUCUCAUAAGCAGAUCAAGCUAAGGACCACACUCACCCUAUAUCCAAACAAAUGGCCUAAGGGUCCUCUAACCUUUACACUUCUGUCAUGUACUUAGAUUUAUCUCCCCCGGGGGUAUUGCACAAGCAUUUUCUUUAAACAUUCUACAGGGUGAACUCUUAUGUAUCAUUUCAAUUUCUGGUGUACUUGGAUUAAUGCACUGUAUCUAAAAAAAUGGGGAGCUCUCUCAUGCCCUAUCUUAUUUAGAAGGUUGUGCUGCCCUCCUAUCACUGAAAUGCAAACUUCAAAACACAUUAUAAUCUAUCAUAGCAUGACAUUUAUUACCCUAAGCAAUCACGUAUUGGUCAAUUAUAAGAGGACAACACUCAGGAGGGCAUGUAUAAGUUAGUUUUCCUUAAAAAAUUCAAAGCAUGCAUUUUGUUUAGCCUGACAAAUGAAAGGCAUGGGAAAAUUGAAUUUGUGGAGUUUCUAUUAAACUUUGUUUCUGUUGGGAUAUUGUACAGGUUAAUGUUUGGAGAUGAGGCCCUUGGUGAUGUGAACAUAAAAAUGGUAGAGGUUGCUAGAAAGGUUGGAGCUGCAUCUAAAUUUACAGGCAGUGGAGGAGCCGUGGUCGCAUUUUGUCCUGAGGGGACUUCUCAAGUGAAGCGUCUAGAGGAUGAAUGUCACAAAGCAGGAUUUGAGAUGGAACUUCUUGAACCUUUUCCUUCUCGCCUAAAUGAAUUUGACUUAAAAACCUUGCGGAUGAAGUAAUUACUGAUAUGAGGGUUUGAAUUAUCGAGAAACAUUUUCAUUUCAUAGACAAGUAAGAAUUUCAAGUUGUGAUUCAUGCUUUUUAUUGAUGAAUUUGAAAGAAAAGAAGUAUGAUUGAUUUUGUCUUAACUUCCAUUUGCACCAAUUACAAUGAAUAUACAACUAUAGCAAUAGUCAUUAGUAAGGAUUAAGAUAUUUUGUCAGUGUUUGAAGCCCUAUUCCAUAACCCACCAAUAAAAUUGUACCAUGUCAAUUUAAAAAACAUAUAUUUGACAAUUAUAACCUGGGUGGUUUUUAAAUAACAGCACAAUUUUAUUGGUGAGUCAAGUAAGAUGACACCAAACAGGGACAAGAUUUGGAUCCCAUUAGUAAGAGUAGUAAAUAAAGCAAUAAUAGUGUUGUUUAAUCACAUUUUCAAAGGAAAAGCAGUAAGAAUCUAGUAAGUGAAUGAACUUUACAAGCAUACAAAAAACUGCAGCAUUCCAUCUUCAUGCUUGAUUGGAGACUUCUUUGUGACUGCCUUCCCACUUUUUACAUUCAUUAUAUGGUAAUUCCAAUUGUAUGCCUCCAUUCAAAUGUUUGAUGCUCUUUAAUUAAUACAAUCAAUCUAAAAAUAUUUACCAAAAACAUCAAAGAUCUAAUUCUAAUCUACUUAACACCAGUGUUCUAGAGUUACAAUCAAUGAAACUGGUUGUUGAAGGGUGCAAGACUAUUCUUUCAACUUGAAAAUCAUUACCAACAGAAAUAAUAAUGCACAAGGGAAAACCGGUUAAAUCAAUCAUAUUCAUCACACAGCACUUGCAUGAGAUCAAGUGGUGAAGCCCAUAUUGGUAGAUCAAACAAAGAUUGUUUAAAUUGUUCUUCUCGUUUGGAGCACAUUGCUUCUGCUACAUCACACAAACUAGAAAUAUCUUGAAUUACUGCUUCCUGAGCUUCCACCUGCAUGAUUGAGGAUACUAAAUUAUGCCCACUAAGCUUAUCACAUUCACUACACAUGCAAUUUGAGUUUGAUGACAAAUGACAAUACUCUUAUGAUAGGGUAAUGAACUUUUACACAAAUGUUCAGUCACACUUCAUUAUUUUAUCACAUAAAAUGAAAAAAAGUAAGUUAAUACUAAUAGCUAUUAAAUGUAUCAGAGUUAGAAAAAACAACAAAUGAUAUAUGGACAAACUCCAAAUACCAUAAUGUCCCUCAGAAAUUGAAAAUAGUUCUAGUACUAUUUGGUAUGAGUGUUUUUUUCAUUAUAAAAAAAUGUCAUUUUACUUUUAUUUUACCUUCUAUUUUAAAAAAUUGUACAAGAAAAAAAAAAUGAAAAACACAUUUUUAUUGAUUUCACAAAUUUUUAUAUGAAUUAAAACAUGUCAUUUUGUGAUAUCAAACUUCAAUUCUUGACAUUUUUCACAUGAAUUUCACUUCACACUACCUCACCUAAUGUAAUAUGUUUUGGAAAUCAUGGAGAAGAAAGACACUAUUCCCAAUGUAGUAAAUUAGGUCAACUAGGCUUAAGAUUGAAAGCAGAUCGAAAAUGCAAGACCCAGUUCAAAAUUCCCCCAAUUUUUUCAAAUUUCUUGCAUAUUCAGCGAAAACAGAUCGAAAUCGAAAAAUGGGUAUGCAAGUUACCUGCGAGAGAAGGUCCUGAAGCAGAGCGGAAUCCGUUAACGAAGAAGAAGAGGAUGAAGGAAGCGACAAUGGGGUCUGGUUCUGCAGCGGUGGUUGAAGCUGGGGAGCAGAGAUUUGCAUCGAGCGCAAGGUGGUCGACAAAGAUUCCCACUGAACAAUCUCCUUCUCGUACUUAGCUUUCAGCUUCAGUAGGGUCUGCCUCUUUCGCUCUUUGCGCCGCUUCUCCGCCUCCUGAUCUGCCUCCGGCGGCGGCGGAGGAGGGUGGAGGCGGCGGNNNNNNNNNNNNNNNNNNNNNNNNNNNNNNNNNNNNNNNNNNNNNNNNNNNNNNNNNNNNNNNNNNNNNNNNNNNNNNNNNNNNNNNNNNNNNNNNNNNNNNNNNNNNNNNNNNNNNNNNNNNNNNNNNNNNNNNNNNNNNNNNNNNNNNNNNNNNNNNNNNNNNNNNNNNNNNNNNNNNNNNNNNNNNNNNNNNNNNNNNNNNNNNNNNNNNNNNNNNNNNNNNNNNNNNNNNNNNNNNNNNNNNNNNNNNNNNNNNNNNNNNNNNNNNNNNNNNNNNNNNNNNNNNNNNNNNNNNNNNNNNNNNNNNNNNNNNNNNNNNNNNNNNNNNNNNNNNNNNNNNNNNNNNNNNNNNNNNNNNNNNNNNNNNNNNNNNNNNNNNNNNNNNNNNNNNNNNNNNNNNNNNNNNNNNNNNNNNNNNNNNNNNNNNNNNNNNNNNNNNNNNNNNNNNNNNNNNNNNNNNNNNNNNNNNNNNNNNNNNNNNNNNNNNNNNNNNNNNNNNNNNNNNNNNNNNNNNNNNNNNNNNNNNNNNNNNNNNNNNNNNNNNNNNNNNNNNNNNNNNNNNNNNNNNNNNNNNNNNNNNNNNNNNNNNNNNNNNNNNNNNNNNNNNNNNNNNNNNNNNNNNNNNNNNNNNNNNNNNNNNNNNNNNNNNNNNNNNNNNNNNNNNNNNNNNNNNNNNNNNNNNNNNNNNNNNNNNNNNNNNNNNNNNNNNNNNNNNNNNNNNNNNNNNNNNNNNNNNNNNNNNNNNNNNNNNNNNNNNNNNNNNNNNNNNNNNNNNNNNNNNNNNNNNNNNNNNNNNNNNNNNNNNNNNNNNNNNNNNNNNNNNNNNNNNNNNNNNNNNNNNNNNNNNNNNNNNNNNNNNNNNNNNNNNNNNNNNNNNNNNNNNNNNNNNNNNNNNNNNNNNNNNNNNNNNNNNNNNNNNNNNNNNNNNNNNNNNNNNNNNNNNNNNNNNNNNNNNNNNNNNNNNNNNNNNNNNNNNNNNNNNNNNNNNNNNNNNNNNNGGACAAAGCGCACUGAAAAGACUCUUGUUGUCGAGACGUCGCCACUUUAUGUCACACGUUACACGAGACGUUACCACUUUAUGUCACACGUUACACGAGACGUUGUCACUUUAUGUCACACGUUACACGAGACUUCACCACUUUAUGUCACAUGUCAUUCCUUUAUGUCACGCGUCACUUCAUUUGUCAUGCGCUACACUCGACGUCACCACUUUAUGUCACACGUCACUUCUUUAUGUCACACGUCGCUUCAUUAUGGCACGUGCUACACAAGACGUCACCACUUUAUGUCAUGCGUCACACAGAACAUCACUACUUUAUGUUACACGUAACACGAGAUAUCACAACUUUAUGUUACACAUUGCACGAGACAUUACAAUGUCACACGUUACUCAAGACAUCACAAUUUUAAGUCGCACGUUACACAAAACGUCACAACUUUAUAUCAAACGUUGCAUGCAACGUUACAAAUGUAUGUCGCAUGGGCUUUCGAGGAUGCAAUCAACAAAUCUAAUAGAACAUGUCGAAGCAUAAUUUAUGAGGCUACUAUACCCUUACAAACGAUGAGUGAAAUUUCACCCCAAAUAACUUGUACAAUACAUUUAAACAGUCGACAAAACAAUUACAUAAUCAAAUCACUUCUAAUAGGUCAAUCACACAGAAUAAGCUCAAAUGUAUGAUUAAAUUGAAUACUAACCAAAUUUGUGUUGAAAGAAAAAACUAAGUGACAUAACUUUGAUAGACAACACCCUUAACACGUAACUAAAAGUCUAAAUACAUUUUGUUGGAUUAUCUGCAUGACAUGCCUAAUAUUUGUCCAUUUGAGUCGCCGAACCAUACACGAAUUGACCUCUUAACAAUGGGCAUGUUAAGUGUUUCUGUCCAACCAUUUAACAUGCGCCAAAAUUUAAGGAACAUUUGAUUCAAAAACUGAAAGAUGAAGUUGUUUAAUGAUGUCGACCCCUAUGUUGUGAAUGAAUACCCAAUCCAACAAAUUAGACAAUACCCCAAAUUAGACAACUAGUUUAAAUAAAAAAAAACAAAUUUUUUUCUUCUAAUAUCAAACUCAAUUUCAAAAUCAAAUUGAGUCCAACAAACUACUAUAAUCCUAAAAUCACUCUAAACAAUCCAAAAAUACUCAUCAUACCUCAUAAAAUGACAUUCACACACCACAAACAUUCUGAUGAACAAGACUUGGAUCAAAUAAGAAAGUCAAAUAACAAUACAGACCUCGAGCUUGAAUGGAAGCAAAGUUAAAAAAAAGUAAGUUGGCAUGACUAAUAACAUAGUACACCAGUACAUCCCCUACUAUCUACCCUUGGAUAUAUCCUUUAUUUAUCCAACGGUUGUGAUUACAUGUUGGUUACCUGAUCAGCCAGUUUUAUGAAAACCCAAUUUUUAGUCCCCCAAGUAUUAGUUAAUACUUAUUACUUACUAAUAAUUCACUUUUGGUCCCUGAAGAACUUGAUAUUACCCAAAUGGCAUUUAUAUUGAUCCCUCGUCUCUUCGAUGGCGACCAAGAAUUUCCUCCCAUUUUGCUUCUACAUGUGGUGGUGGUGGUUCUGAGGGUUUAUCUGGGUGGAGUGUAGAUCCUUCUUUCUAAUUUGUUAAAAUUCUGGGACUAAUAUAGAAUUUACAGAUACCUCUUACCUGUUAUAGCAGGUCAAAAAUGGAAUGGCUUGGGGAGCAAGCUAGUCAUGACACUGUAUCCCUCGGUUUUAGUUCAGACAAGACCAGCUACUUCCGAACCAAAGCCUCGGACUCAUUUCGUUGCUUCGGUCUCCUCUCUCUCUCUCUCUCUCAGUGACACUCACUCUCUCUGUCUCUCUCUUACUGUACUACCUUACUUCCUUGCUACGACACCUUCUUUAAAUACUCACUAUCAUUCCACAAAACGCGUUUUUCUCUUCUGUCCUUCAUUUGCACCCUUCUUCCAUUGCAAUGGCUAGGUGAGCUUACAUGAGCAGAUUGCAAUGAAAGUUUCAUAGUUCAGCUUGAAAGUUUGCAACUCUGGAUGUUUUCUUAGAACCCCAUUUUUUGUUUUCUCUUCAUCUUGUGAAUUUAAACUGAAAACUGUUUUGAAAACCGCAAACAAACAGUCUUGUCAUGAAAAUCCAAUUUUUCUGUUCUGGGUAGUAUUGUUCUGCAAACUUGUGUCACAGGAGGAAUGUUCACUUUGUUGCUUGUUUUGGUAAAAUUAGUCAAGUACACUGAUCUAGAUAGAUUCUGGAGUGUUACAUCACGUGGUUGAGUUUUGGCUUGUGGGGUUGAUGACUUGAUGUUGUUAUGAAGGACAGUAUUUAUGGACUUUUGUUCGUAUAUGGAUAGCAAAUGAGUGGGAACAGUGUUAAAGUGUAAUCUGAUACCCCCAUUUGGAUUUUGGAAUCUUUGCUGCCUAAUUUGGAAAAAACUUGUUGUUCCUUUCUACAACUGGUAAUGCAUUGUGGAAAGAAACACUUGUGAAGUACUAAUGGCAUGCUUGGAUCAUUUUUUCUUCUUCUUUGGGAAUCAAUUCAGAUAACCAGAAGAAGUAACUUAUAGAAGCUUCUCCCUCAAAUUGAUUUUGACUUCAGGGUCAACUUGAGUUGUGGUUUUCUGGAUGAUUGAAAUAUAGUCAUUUGUCUUAGGGGUGUGAUCAUGUGGUGUAAUGUGAUUUGGGACUGAUUUGUGUUGGAGAAAAACUUGAUGUUCCCAAGCCCCCAUGUUUAAGCUUUUGAAAUCUCACUGGCUGUAGCACCACCUAGACCUUGUGUUCAUUUUGAAAUCUCACUGGCUGUAGAAUGAAUUGCUACUAUCACAGUCUUUAGAGUUUGCUGCACUAUGGGGGCCAGAAUCUAUGACAAGACAUGGAUUUUUGUUCCCAAAGGGCCUUCUUUGAUGAUGUCUGCAUUCUCUUCCUUUGUCUUCCUCUUUGUUUUCUUUUAGCUGGUUGGAGCUCUUGUGUUUGGAUAUCAGUGGAGUGCAUGAAUCUAAAUGUACUUUCAUUCAAUCCAUAACGAGAGUAUCAUUCUCUUUUCAUGCUAACAUCCAUUUAUGUUGGUGUCAAUGGAUAUCCAAACAUAAAUCAUUGGUGCUAUUAAACACUCUCAAAUCCCAUCAAACUUUCAUCUAAAGCCCUACGUCCAGUUAUUUUUAUGAGUUCCUCAAAAUUUGGGGAUUUAGUGGGAUUUUCAACUUUCUAAUAAAGGGAGAGCUUACCCUCACUUCCCCCUUUCUUACCAUUUCUUCGCCUUCCUCUCAGAAUUUUCUUUUUUGCUCACCUAAAAAACUCUCAAACAAAGCCUAAGACAUCUUCAAAAAUUUUAGUUUCACAAGCUAACUCGUUGAGUCCUUCAUGUGAACUGUUGAUGAAUUAUUGUUUUUCUCUUUGCUUUUAUGUUUUCAGCAACCAUGUUUCUUUUCUUUCUGUAUUUGAACCAAACAUCCCUUAACUUCAUAUCUAUAUGAUGUUCUUCAAGUAAACAAUGUGUCAUUUUGAAUGAAUGCUGAUCUAACUCAACUAAGAUUAUAUUUGUUUUGCAGAAGCUGGAUUAUUGACUUUGGAUCAUUUGCAAAGAAAGUGAAAAACACUAAUCUGUCAACAGUUGAUCAAAUCAAGGACUGUGGAGCAUAUCUUGAUUGUCCAAAAUGUCAUUAUCGGAUCGACAACAGUGAUGUAUGCUAAAAUUCAACUUAAGAUUCAGUUUUUCAUCCAGUAGUUUUCAAAUUCACACAUCCACCAAAAUAGUAAAAUGCUAUAAGCCUAUAAGUCUCACAGUAAAAGUUCUAGGUGUUACCAUGGAGUUUGUGCAUGCUCCAAUUCUCCUAACCUACAUUUUUCUUCAUUUGGCUUAAGCAAUUAAUUUAAGUACUUAAAGUUAGAAGUUUGCAAAUUUUACCUUCAUACCAGGAUUAAACUCUGGAAAAUGUUAAAUUUAAGUUUUGACUGAUUCCUUUUCCUGUGUAGGUUUUUCCGGAGUGGCCUGGCUUUCCUGCUGGUGUAAAGUUUGAUCCUUCUGAUGUUGAACUUUUAGAACAUUUAGCAGCAAAGCAUUGUAUUGGAGACAGAGUGGCACACAUGUUCAUCCAUGAGUUUAUCCCAACUCUAGAAGGAGAUCAAGGUAUUUGCUACACACAUCCAGAAAAUCUUCCAGGUGAGGACUCUCUGACCCUUUUUGCUUUCAAAUAUGUAAACAUUAAGAGUUCAUUCAGCAAAUUUUGACUAAUGGACCUCUAAAAUGAAAUCAAAAUGCCAAAACUGACAAACAUAUCAAAGAAGUUGAUAACUGACCAAGAUUAAAAGAAAAAAUGAAUGAAAACACAGUAGAUUCCGGCACAUUAUGAUUCAUAAAUUAUCAGCAUCUGAAAAACAUUCUUGGGCUUAGGGGACCAAUCACUCCCUUUUAAACUAGAGCAACAAAGAUUUAGAUAAUUUUAUUGAUAUCCAAACAUUGAAUAGUAAUUUUGGUCCCUGAAAGAUUUAUAUAGGUUAGUUUAGUCCAUCAACUAUCGAAAUAUGUUAAAAUAGUCCAUUGAAGAUGUAAAGAUGUUCAAGUAAGUCAUUCCGGGAACUAAAAUUGAUAGUCUUUUUCAUCCUUCAAGGACUAAAUAGAUCAUAACUUUCAAGUAUUAGAUUGACCGUUUUUCAUUUUCAUGGACUAUUUUUCCUAUUUCCAUUUUUCAUGGACUAAGUGCAUGUUUGGAUACACGGUGAAAAGGCACGGUGAAAGCAAAAUCGCGUGGACAGCCACAAAAGCUAAGAGAAGUUGUUUCUGUCCAUCGUGAUUUUGGCUCACCAUGGUUUUCCACCAUGUAUCCGAACAUGCACUAAGUUGACUGAUCCUAUAUCUUUAAAGGACAAAAGUAACCAUUCAGUUGAUAUCUGAAUAUCCGUAACUAAAUAUCUAUACUUAUGUAUAGAUAUCAGAUCAGGACGUUUUCCUUCUUUCUCAGGGGAAGCUUGGAUUUUAUAACAAAUUUAGUGGCCUGUAAUGAUUAUCUUCUUGUUCACUUUUAUACAUAUUCUGACAAUUGAAUUUGUUGAGGGGCUUCCAUUGACUCUGUCCAAAUCUGGACUAAAUGCAGUUUUGGGCAACACAUUCUCUGAUAAAAUUCUACCCUUUCUUAUCUCAGGUGCCAGGAAAGAUGGGAGCAGUGUCCAUUUCUUUAACAGAACAGUUAACGCAUACGCUACUGGACAAAGAAAGCGUAGAAAGAUCCAUCAUCAACAUGGUUUGACUCAUGAGGAGCAUGUGCGCUGGCACAAGACAGGUAAGACCAAACCUGUGAUAGAAGAUGGAGUGCAUAAGGGAUUCAAGAAGAUCAUGGUUCUUUAUGUCAGCUCUCAGAAAAGGUCCAAGCCAUAUAAAUCCAAUUGGGUGAUGCAUCAGUACCAUCUAGGAAGUGAAGAGGAAGAGAAGGAUGGUGAAUAUGUGGUUUCAAAAGUUUUUUAUCAACCGAACAAGCAUACUGAGAAAAAUGAGGAGAAUCCAGUGGCUGAAGGUUCUGACAUGGCGUCACGAACCGAUCCAAGAACCCCAAAUCCAAAUCCUCCAAGUCGACCUCAUACUGAUAUAUAUGUUGAUUGUGAUGACAAUUUUGAUGACAGUGAACUUCCAUUACUCAUCCAGGUGUGUAGUUAUUUGCAAACUCUUUUACGAUUGAUUUUGAAGGCAGACUUUCGCUUAUGGGUUUUAGAAUUGAUACUGAUGAAAGAAAAUAUGAUCAAAACAUGCUAGAAGAUGACUUCCAUCUCAGUGAGACUAGAAGCAUGUUUGGAAACCUUUCUAUCAGGGGACUUUUGAGUUUCAGAAUUGUUUCUGAUGAAAGAAAAGUUGAUCCAAUCAUGCUAUGAAAUGACUUCCAUUGCACAUUAGUGAAGCUUGAAGCAUGGACAACUACAUGCACCAGACCCCUGGAUGGUACACAUAUAGUUGUCCAUGCUUCCGUCGCUCAAAUACUAAUGAGAGUAGAGAAAAAAUAUUUAACAUUUUUAUAUUAUUUUCCUCCUAUACACUACAUUCUUUGAUUCUUUUUUAAAAUUUUAAUUUGAUGAACUAGGAUGAUGAGUGUGUACCUCAAGAAUCACAUGCCCCACCAUCUGAUGUAAAGAAUGAGGACAAUAUGGGUGACUCUGCAUGGUUAGCUGGUGAAUCACAGGAUGUAAGUUACUUUGAUGACUUGGAUGACAUCGUACUAUGCCAGGAGAUGUUAGAUUCUUCUGGUCUCUUCAAUGAUUCUGUAUUGAACUCCUCCACUUUUAACGGUUUCACUGGUCAUGCAAAUGAGGGCCAACUUGGAAUUUCUAUCCAGGACACCUUGGAAUUGGAUACUCUUCUAGAUUUUGACUUUUCUGUAAGCACCAACUUACCCUUUUAGAGCAAGUUCUAUUUGAGACUGAUGCUCAUAUUAUCACCAUUUGGUGGAGUAGUAGUAUCUGUAUAAGAGUAUUUUAUGUCAGAGGUCAAGUCUCUAUUUGAUGUCUCUGAUGGAGUGAAAAUCCAACAGCUUAAUGUAUAAAAUUAACAAUUGAAUCAUUUGUUUUUUAACUUGAAUCAUCUGGUUUAUCAGUUUUUGUAAAAGUUAGGCUUUAGUUAGAUACAUAAUUGAUAUAUACAUUAAGCAAAUUUAAUUUAUAUCAUUUCCUUGAUCAUCAUCAACUUCAUAUACUCUUCUUCAUCUCUCCAAUCCACUUAGAAACCUCUCCUGAGAAAGCCUAACUGACGGAGGGGUAGACGGUGCAUUGUUUAAAAACAUGAGGGGUAGAAACAUCGACAAAAAUAUAGUAGGGGCAAAAUUUGCACAAACUUGAAACAUCAGGGGCCAAAAAUGCUUUUUAACAUUAUAUUUUUGGUUCCAUAAUUUAUACUAUGUGAUUUUAGCACCCUAAGUGUUAAUAGUUGCUAAUCAAGUCACUCUAUCAUUAUCAUUCUACUUAAAACUCUCAAAUUCCCGCCUUCUAAAAAAAUCAUCACGAGUUGAAUCAAUUUAAUCUUUCUAUACGCUAUUCUCAUUAAAACUCACUACUCGAAAUAUUAAAUUCUAUUCCAAAAUAAAAAAUUCCCUAAUUUCUACCUAGCUAAACCCAAAUCGCAUAUCCAAAAAAGUCCUUCAAAUUUAAUCAGAAUUUAACCAUUUUAUUUACUUUGAAACUUUUAAAAUUUUAUCAUAUAUCAAAUUCAUCAUAAAUCCUAAAAGAAUUCAAAAUAAAAUGAAGACUUAAUAAUUUUAUGCAUAAGAAAAUUGAGAAGGGUCAAAUUUGCAUAAUUUCAAAAGUAAAUGGAUUCGAUUAGUAAAAAAAAACUAGGAGGAUCAAAAUAAUACUUGACCAAAAUUUAACCGAUAAUUUUUUAACUUUUGGACUUUUUAAACUAUAUAAUACAUCAAAUCCAUCAUAAAUCCUAAAAUAAUUAAAAAGAAAAUGAAGAUUUAAUGAUUUUAUGCAUAUGGAAGUUGAGACUAACGAAAUUUGUUUGAUUUCAAAAGCAAAAGGGAUUUGAGUAGUUCAAAGAAAAAAACUAAGAGGACCAAAAUCAAACAUAAUGCAAACCUUGUGGGUGAGGGCGUCCUAGAAAAUUAAGAAGAAAAAAAACUUUGUCUUCUUAAUAACCAAGAUCUUAGAGUUCAUGUCCCUAUACCUCGUGGGCGAGGGCGCCCUUAAAAACCAAGAGAGGUCGUAAGCCCCGUUCGGUGUCCUCGACCACCCGUGAGGAUUUGGUUGCGGUUGUUGAUAGUGAUUCAGUUUCUGAUGUGGCCACACCCAUAAUUUCUCUUGCUCCACUGGCUCCGGGUUGUGCUUUGUAUGGUCGUUACUAUAUGCGGGCCAAGAAGGCCUGGCUUGUUGGUAAGUUUCUGGGGAUGAAAUUUGAUGGAAGUAACGAGGAGGCUACUGACAAUCUUAAUUUAGAAUUGAAGGAGUUGUGGCGGCCUCGAACGUUGGAGUGUUCUUUUAUUUGUUUUUUUAUUUUGGUUUUGGAACACGUGAUUGGUAUUUAAUUUAAUUUUUUUUUGUGAAUAAAAUUUUGGAUAAGUUCGGCUUCGGUCACCACAUGAUAGAGCAUGCCAUCGAGACCAAAAGUCGCUUCCAAAGAUCACCCACCAACACAACCUUACAUUAGCAACAAAAAUAAAACAUACAACUUUAUGAGGAGAAGUAAUAUGUUCUUACCAACUGCAUCAAUAUGUGUUGGUUUUGAAUUUUUUUCUUAAUGAUUUAGUUUAGACUAAAACUCUAUUUAGUCCUUUGCCGUUAACCCAUUUCUUCUCUAUCGAUUUAGUCCUUUAUAAACAAAAUAAUCAAUUAAAUCCUUGAAGUUUAAAACAUUAAUAUUUUUAAUUCUUUCACUCUUUAAUGCAUUUAGUUAUGGACUAAAAUUUGUGAACUUCAAAUUUUAAGAAUGUAAUUGAUAAAAAUUGAUUUAAUCAUGGUUUUCUCCGAAAAAUAAAAACAAAUACAUAUAUCAAAGUCUCCAAAACCUUGUUGUAACAAAAAAAAAGUCUCCAAAACCCUGUGAUAGUUUACCCUCGCCUCGCCCAUGUCUAAACCCAAAACGAGAGAGAAGUGCAGAGUGUGAGUAAUCGGUGACCAAAACGCAGCACGAAAUCAAGAAUGUUCGGUGCCAGAAAUCUGCAGAGGCAGUGCUUCAAGCCCCUCUCUUCUCUCCUUCAACUUCAACUUCAACUUCACUCCAAUCUCUACAAGUACCUAUUCUCUACCCUUUUCCCCUCUAUCUCUCAAUAUAUCACUUAUAAUUCAUAAAUGGAUCAAACCCUUUUGCUCUUUCCCCUCAAAGUUUCUAACUUCACCCCAUUCACACCCCAUUUCUUCUUAACUAUAGCUUCUCACUGUUAUUACUCUCUUUUGUAAAUUCUUCAUUUUUUCAAUCAUUUUUUUUAAUUUUUUAACUCCCAUCAGUUUGAAAUUUAUUAGUUUUGAUUGAAGUGCAUUUUGUUAGUUGAAAUAAUGAUUAUUUUGUAAUGGGGUAUUUUUUUUUUGAGUUCAGAAAUGUUGUGCCUUUAGGACAUAGGACUGAGCAGAGCAACAUAGUUAAAGUGGAGCCGUACCAUGAUGUUGGUUUGUGUGGUUAUGUUAAGCCAUUUAGUUUCAUGAAUGGAUCAUCGUCGCGGGCGAUGUCAACAUCGAAAGGAAGGAGCAUGCGAAGCAAGGUGGAGAAGAGGAUGCAGAAGGAGUCUGGUAAGACAUUAAGGGAGAUACGUAGAGCUAAGAAAUUGAAGAAGAAGCUUAUGACAGAAGAAGAGAGGCUUGUUUACAACCUCAAAAGAGUAUGUUAUCUAACUGCCCUUCUAAUGGUUGUUUGGACUUUACUUUGUUAUCCAUGUUUUUACUUUCAUACUUUGUUUUGAGAUGUAAUAGUUGUCUUAGAUUGUGAAUUUGAACUUUGAUGCAGUUUGAAAGUUCUGUAUUCUAAUUUUAAAUGACUUGGACUAUAUUACAAAGUAUUUACAAUAACAAAAAUAAAUAUGCCUGCAUGUUACUUCUGUGUUAAAGUGGUAAACAGAAUUGGCUCAUAUAGGAGAUACCUGAACUUAGAGUUCUGUCCAAAAAGAGUCCAGACUCAAGAGUUUCUGUGAUCACAACUUUUGUUUGUAUGACUAUUCCAUUGAUUGAUUGAGAGUUGUGAGGUCCAGGGUACCACAAGGAAGUAGGAAUUGGGUUAAAUUAAAUAGAUGAGAACUAUGGGAACUAUCUUUGUGUGUGUGUGUGUGUGUGUGUGUGUGUGUGAGAGAGAGAGAGAGAGAGAGAGAGAGAGAGAGAGAGAGAGAGAGAGAGAGAGAGAGAGAGAGAGUGUAUUGCUUGGGAUUGUUUUUCCUUCUUCAUUGAAGAUAUUGAAUAUUCCCCAUUAGCUUUAAGCUGUUGUCAUUUUAGUUACUUAUUUGGUUUUGAUUGUUUAGUUAUUAGCAGCACAUAGAAGAUAAUCAUGAAGUGAAUUUUUCAAGUCAUGAUAAUUGAUUGCAUGUUUGUACUACCUGAUAAAUUUUUUGCUUGAUUUUGGUGUAGUGCUCAAACAUGGUAUAUAGUCUUGUGAAAAGGGUAGUGGGAGGCAAAAAGAACAUGGGGAGAUAUUGUUAAAAAUGAUCUUAUUAUCAAUAAUAUUCCCUUUAAUUUGGUUUUUUAUCGAGCUCAAUGGCGUAGUGUGAUCCAUAUAGCUGACCUCACUUAGUGGGAUAAGGCUUUUGUUGUUGUUGUUGUUGUUUGUUUGGCGUAGUGGUCGUUAUAUGAACAUUUGGUUAAAUCUUACUUGCCUACCUUCCAACUAUUUCAGGCGAAGAAGAAAGUGGCAUUGCUAUUGCAAAAACUCAAGAAAUAUGAGCUACCAGAUCUGUCUUCUCCUCGGCAUGACCCGGAGCUCUUAACACCUGAGCAGCUUCAGGCAUAUAAAAAAGUUGGAUUCAAGAACAAGAACUAUGUCCCUGUUGGUGUUCGUGGAGUCUUUGGAGGAGUUGUGCAAAACAUGCAUCUCCAUUGGAAGUUCCAUGAGACUGUGCAAGUUUGUUGUGACAAUUUCCCCAAGGAAAAAAUAAAAGAAAUGGCUUCAAUGCUUGCAAGAUUGAGUGGUGGGAUUGUGAUAAAUGUUCACGAUGUGAAAACAAUCAUUAUGUUCCGUGGUAGAAACUAUCGUCAACCCAAAAAUUUGAUACCUAUUAACACCCUUACAAAGAGGAAGGUAUGGUUGCAUUGUUAUAUUCCUGUUAGAAUAUAUGAAAAAAAAUUAUAAUAUUUGUAUUGUAUCUUAAAGAAAUUUAGAACAUAUCUGUUAGGAUUAGAUUCCAUAUUUCUUUUUACUUCAUAAUUCGUUUCCUUAUUUACUUUGGAUUAGGAGUCUAUUAGUUAUCAUGAUUAGUUCCUUUAUUCAAUUAGUUAAGGAUUCAGAUAAAAAGAUGUAGGUUUGAUAACUCAAAUCUGCUUGUUACUUUUUUUAAUUAAAAAGAAUUGUCUGGUCCCUAGUUAUGGUAUAUACUGUACAAAGAACUUUGUGGUGCCGGAGGUAAUGUAUUUUUUCCCAAUGUUGUAUACAGGCUCUAUUCAAGGCCAGAUUUGAGCAAGCUCUUGAAUCUCAGAAGUUAAACAUAAAGAAACUAGAACAGCAGCUCCGACGGAUGGGAGUAAAUCCUGAGGAUCCAAGUGCUAUGGCCAGCAUCCAAAGAGUCGCUUCCACGUUUUUCAAUGCCAUUGACAAGAAAGAGGGAAGUCCUUACGUGUUCCGUGACGGAAAGCAGUCAAUAACAGAACCUAUUGAAGAUAAAGGAGAGUCAGAGCCUUCUUUUGAUAGUGAUCAGGAAGAGCUAGAUCAAUUCAUUGCUGAUAUAGAGGAUGCAGCAGAUAAAGAAUAUGAAGCUGAAGAGGCCAAAGAAAAUGAAGAGAUGAGCAGAAUUAGAUAUUGGAACAAAGAAGAUUUUGGUGGAAGAUUCAGAAGAUCAGAUGUUUCUAGAAAUGAUGACUAUGAUGGUGAGGUUAGAGUCUCAAGGGCUUGGCAGACUGCACGUCCUAAGCAUCGGGCUAGGGAUAGUGAUGAUGAAGAGAAUGCCCAUUCUGACAAUGAUGACGGUGAUGAUGAUUUUGCUGGAAGAUUCAAAAGAUCAGGUGUUUCUAGAAAUGAUGACUAUGAUGGUGAGGUUAGAGUCUCAAGGGCUUGGCAGACUGCACGCCCUAAGCACCGGGCUAGGGAUAGUGCUGAUGAAGAGAAUGCCCAUUCUGACAAUGAUGACAAUGAUGAGUGGCAUUCCAGUAAUAUUGCUGAUGAUAGUGAUAUUGAUAGCAAUGGCUCUAAUGAAGGUAGAGGUAGGUUCAAGGAAAGUAGAACGGGGAGAGAGAUGGGUAGGACCCGAGUCAAUGGAAGUCCAAAUAGACACGUUGAAGGUAAAUUUAGGAGGAACAUGGCCAUAGAAGAUUCUGAAUCAGAAGGCAUGCUUAGUGAUGUUGAGAAUGCAAUGUGGGAGUCUGAUGAGGAUGAAAAUGACUCAGGACAUCUGAGACAGGUCAGGGACAACUACAAGAGUAGCAGCAGUGAUGAUGAGCACACGUUUCAAAUAAAGAGAGACAAAAAGAAUGGUAUGAGGGAUCAUAAGCGUAAGGUUGAUGAUCCCGCUCCAUAUCAUAGUAGUUUUGAUGCACCAAAGAGUGUGAGAGGGACCCAAGAAGGAAAUGGCAGAACCGAUUUUGAGUCCACAGAUGUAUUUAGCGGUCGAGAAAGCUGGUUGUGGGAUUCAGAUGCUGAGGAGGACUCAAGAGUAUCAAGAUCUGCUAGGGAUGGGAACCACCCCACAAGUCAAAAUAGCAAUGUGGUCAAAAGUGAUAUCCAUAAGAGGAGAACACCAAAAGAAGCUGAUGAGGCUUGGGACAGUGACUAGCCCAGUAAAUGUUAGAUCAUAUUUCUAGGAUGUUUGGAUCAACUCAUCUUUCAUCAGAAUCGUUUUUGAAACCCAAGAACUACUCACAGAAGCUUCUCCCCAUAAUUGAUUCUGCCUUGAGAAUCAAUUGUAGAAGGAUAUUCAAAUAUGCACUUGAUUAUGGUAUUUAUUUUGGACUGUGUUUGACAAGCGGACAUUGUUUUCUGGUCAAAGACAAGCAGACUUGAAACAAGAAAUUGGUCCAAACAAAAUCAAGAAGGUAUGAAGCACAAGAUAGCCUAAUUUUUUCAGUUCUCACAUGGAGCUUCCUCUUACUAUUAACCUGAUAGUAAUGUUAUCUGCACAAGUUACUACUGCACUUCCAGUCAUAUGAUGCAUGUGGCAUAUUUUUUUAGUGUUGUUUGAGGAAUCAAACUUGGACCUUAUGCAAAGAUUAUUGUUUGAAUGGAAGUUUUGAUCGUGAAGGAAUUGAAUUUAAUCAAUUGAAAUAGAAAGAAAUGUGGAAUUCAUUGAUUAAUUUGUAACUAAUAAGGUACGUAAGAUAUGUCCAAUGUUAAGUGCAUGUUUGGAAAACCUUCUAUAGAGACUUUUAGAGAGAACCAUUUCUAGAGCAGAACCAUUUCUAGAUAGUUUUUGAGUUUUAGAAUUGUUUCUGAUAAAAAAGAAGCUCAUCCAAACAUACUAUAAGUCACACAUGUCAAUCGAAUCCUAGUCUUGCUAAAUGGUAGCUCUACUUGGGCAGGUCUUAGAGGCUAUGAGAAGAAACACAGACAAGCAUUAAACAAAUAGGAAUGAUUUUUAAUGCAUUUUUUGUCAGGGGCAAAUAUGUAUCUUUUUCUGACUAUAUUAAAUAAAACCCACAAUAUGAAUGUGCUUGUUGCAUAGAUGCAAUGCAAAUGAGCAUAUGAUGUAUAUAUUUAUAUGUAGCCAUGAAGUCUAAUUAACUCAAGUCUGGUCUGCUCUAGAAAAGUCUUCCAUUUCAGAAGUUCUAGGCACAUAAUGAUAUUCUACAGCAGAAUUUGCCAAGAAUGGAAAGACAAUUCUGAAGUGUCUAUGAUGCACUCUUAUCAUUUAGGAUUAUGGAAUGUGAUUGACUCUGAUCGAGUCGGGGUACUCAAAUGUUAAUUGAUCUUUAUGGCGUGCUUCUUAUAUCAAUUAGAAAUUUUAUCCAUAGGAAAAAAGUAUCUAGCAUAUCUAUUUCCUCAUAUUUUGAUUUUUAUGAAGUUUCUUUCUUAGCUGCAGCUGCUAGUAAUCGUUGUUUUGGACAAUAAAAUAUGUAGAAAGCCUUUUUUAUUUUUUUAUAUAUAGUGGAGAUAGUUGCACAUAAUGACAAAUCACAGCCCCAUAUUGUUAAAAGCUUGAGGAGGACGGAUUUCGUUUGAGAGUCUGAAAAUAAUAUUCCACCAAAAUUUAUUGGUGGGGGGCUGGACCGUGAAUGCAUGUUGAGACUAUAAAGAAGAGGAGUGAUAGAAAAUAAGUGUAAGACACAAACUACAAAAGGACCAAUAGUGUCAAGUGUUAAAUGCCCACAACAAGCAUGAUGCGCUAGACUCUUAACAACAAUGUUGAGGAAAAUGACUAGUUCAGCAUUAUGAAACACAAGAUGAAAACUUUGAAGAGUCAAUUGUGUAAUGAUCUUGAUCGUUGAAGAAUGAGACAACUUAGUGGAGUUCCCAAUUUUUAAGACGGGCUCUUUAGUCUUGGGUGGUGGGGACUCAGAUUAGUCCUCAACUCAAAACUACAAUAUUUCAUACCAAAAAAAAAAAAACUACAAUAUUUGGUUCCUUCAAGUCUUUGAUAAUGAAUAAAAACACUCAAUUUCUAGGAAAAAGGUUAAAAUGAUUGGUGAACCACGCUACAGUAAAAAUCACACUGUAACAUCUCUAUUGGCGGUUUCAGAAAGUCACAAAACGUAUUAUAUCAAGUUUCCCCUUUGGGAAAGUCUUUAAUCACCACAAAAUGAGUGUCUGGACACCAAAAAGCUGUCCGUGAAUUGGCCCUGAAAAAGAUCCGACCGUUGUGGCACAAGUCAACACAGUCCACUUAAAAUACAAGUCAUGUGCAAAAUUAACAAUUAAAUACUUUACCCAUAAAAUAUAUUGUUGCAAAACUGUGUACAAUUGUGGCAGAAAAUUAAUUUUCUGUGAAAUCACAAUAUCAAUGGUUAUAAUCAUAGUUUUAAAUUGCGGUCCACAACCACAAUUACGAUCGCACCAUAAAGGAUUUCCGACUCCUUGAAUAGGCAUCACGGCCGCAAUUGCAAUCGCUCAACCCGCAUUUGUCCGCAAUUCCGCAACACAACAACAACCACAAUUUAAAACCCUAGUUGAAACAUUUUUGUGAAAAAAAAAACAAGAAGAUGAAUCAAAGUUGAAUAUCAAAAUGUUGUAAAGAAGUAGCUAAAACUAGAGAUGUUCAAGUUCACAACCUAAGCCGUCAGAGUAUGUGUAUAACUUAGUCCAAGAAAUCCAAAUUCCCAUACGUAAAUGCUGGGAAUUUCUUGCAACUAUAUUGAGAGCAACUUGAGAUUUAUGCAUGUCCAAAAGAGAAUGUGCAAAAACUUGUUAAAAGCUGAACACUUUCCCUCACAAGAAGCUUCUCACUCAAGAUUCUCACAUGUCUAUGUCAAACUCCAAGAUUCCAUUCAGGCUCUUCCCUCCAAAAACGGGUCACCAUUUGCUUGGUAUAAUGUGUGUUUGUACAUGACCACACCACAGCUAUAGUUCAUUCAAUGUUGCUAUUUUUGGUGUUAUGCCCAAAAUCAAUAGAUCUCAUAUUCAAAAGCUCAGCUACUUUCUCUUCUGCAGUUACCAGGCAACAAGUACUUGUAUCUCUCUGCAUUAUUCAACAAGUAUGAUGGAAGAUGCACUGCUGAGUAAGAAUGAGGAAUAGGUCCCAUCUUCCCAAUAAUCUCCUUAAAUGUAUACUCUUCAGGAAGCAUGUCAAACAGGUCACUUCCUUUGCAUAUCACAUCCUGAAUCCUGUCAUGGUUCAAGUAAUGAGCGAACCGCACCCGAUCAUAAUGGCUGUAAGCCUUCAUCUUGAAUACGAAUUCACUUACACGGCGGAAACAGAAGCUACAAUGCCAGCCAGCAUCUGACAACAACACAUCACCCUGCCUGUAGUGCGCGUAGCGCGUCUUGCCGGUUCGGUAUCUAUGAAUUGAAGCUCUCCAACUUUGAUUGUCAAGAAAAAACUCAAAAGAGUACAAGUAGUUCUUCAGCUGAAGAUGAAGAACAUCAGGGAUGUCACUGCACCACCUCAAGAGGUUAAUUGUGUGUGCACUAGGAAUCUCAUCAACAUCAGACAUUAUCAAGAGAUCAUCAUCUUCUAUUCCGGCUUUCUCCAGAAGCCGGUCCAGGACGACUCUUUGAUACGCCUCUUCAACAAAAGGAUUCUCCCCUUUCCUAGAUCCUCCCCCAAUCACCCCGUAUGUCAGGCGAGACUUGACAAACUUAAAAUUGUCCCGAUUGCUUGCGAAAACCAAAGGUUUAGACAAUCCUGUGAAUGUUGAGUUUGAUUCAAGGAUUACAUAGUGUGUCACAUAUGGAUGCAGUUCUUUCCAACGAAGAGUAAGAAUGUCAACUUCAUUGCUAAACAAAACAACAUCAAAGACGCGCCUAGGUGAUUCGCGAAUUCCCCAACCGUGAAGACUGCAUAGAGUUUCCAUUGAGACAUUCUCAUGGUAAUAGUGAGGGAUUUCAUGGAAGGGUUUUGGAGGAGAUUCCCAUAGUGGUCUCAGAAAGUAUGAGAUUUUCUGGCCAUGAAAAUAAACAAAGAUGAUGCCUGUUGGGAUAACCAUGAACAAAAAUAUGAAGGUCUUGAUGUCCAACCCUCGGAAAAUGCACCGGAGUCUUCUUGACAUGCUCAAAGCUGCACUAGUUCCCUGCUACAUUGAAAACAAAAAUUCUUUAGGUUUCAUGGAUAAUUUAAUGACCAAAAGUAUCAUGCUGCUGAGUGAUGAGUAGUUCAAAAACACAAGCUUGUACCAUGUCAUCUUCUCAUGAAAAUAUGAUUUAAAGCAACUACAGAAAAUGGAGUUGAAAACGAUAUACCACAACAACAAAAAAUUCUAAAAUUACACAAUUAUGAAAGGCACAUGUUUCUUCAUUUCCUAGCUCAAAUAGCUGUCAGGUCAAUCCUGAAUUCAUAUCAUCACUGAAUCUGAACCAUUCGAUCAAAGAUCACACGAUUCAUAUGUUUCAUCAAGAUCGGACAAAUUUCUAAACUUGAGAAAUCAAACAACUCAGAUUCAGGAAGAAAUUAGGAUUUCCCUGACUGCACAAAAUCCAAAUUCUGGAUUCCCUGAGCAAAGGGAAACCAAGUGAAGUAGAGGGUAGAGAGAGAGAGAGAGACAGAAAGGGUAAUAAAACAUUGAAAGCUGAAAUGAAAUUCACAAUUCAAGAGCUAGAUAGAAAAGCUACACUUCAAACUUCAGAUGUUAAAAAACUAGACAACCAUAGAGAAAUUACGUAUCUACAAAGGAUUGAAACUAUAGCCCACUAAUAAAAAGCAUAGACCCAUCAACAUACACAAAUGAAUCAUAUUUGAUAUCUGUAUAACCACAGGGAUGAGAUAAGCAGGAAUGAACUGAGAGAAGCAUUGAAAAGUAAGUGAUCAUCACUGAUGAAACCCAAUAUGUUUCAAGUUCCCAUUUUAGCAUGGACAACACAACUUUAAAGAACAACCAAAUUUACAACCAAGUAGAAACAAACCAGACAUAAAGAAAAAACCCAAUUUGGGAAAAUAGAGAAAGAAAAGAAAAGAAGUACCUGGCUACAAACAUCCCCACAUAUGUCAUCAGUCUUCUUGGAGUUAUAAUAUCCCUCUGACAUGAUGAAGAACAACAAUAAUUGGGUUGCAGUUUCUUCUUUGUUCCUCUCUGCUCCCACUAAAGUAUCAACCAGUUAUCACUAAGAAUAUGAAUAGCAAAUUGCAGUAUUUUUUUUUUUGUAAAGCUAGCCUACAACCUUUGUAGCUAUGACUGUGUGAGUUUCCCUAGCCUUAGCAUUGUAGUGUAACGUCAGUUACAUUUAUAGCCGUUUGGUGUCCCUAUUUUCUUGUCUUCCGGGAACUUUGAGUAAUGUAUAUAAGUAAAUAAUAGUAGUAAGUAGUAGUAAUAUACAAUUUGUUUAUUAAUAUAUGUUAUUUUUGUGCUUAUGUAAACUUGUUUGUUCUGUGUCACACUCACAUGAUUAUAGGCCAAAACAUUGAAAAAAUCGAAACCCAAAGGCAGUGUCAAGGUUUGUUCUGAGAGAACUAGGUAGCAUUGGAUGAAAAUGGCAGCUGUUGACACGACACCAUGCCAACAAGGCACAACUACACAAACAAGCGCAGUGGAAUUGUCUUUAGUAGUGGAAGUAUGGAACAGGCUUAAAAUAUGAAUUUGACUUAUUUUUACGUUCAAAUUUGAAGGGAAAAACUCUUAAUACCCGUAAACCCUCUCCCUACACCAUCAAUUUUUUGAUCUAUUCAUAUCGGGAACAUUUACAUUCUAGUGAAGUUAGUUCUGUUAGUGAGAGUUUCUUCCAUAAACAAAAUUUAUAUUCAAAAUUUUAUUUAAAGAAAAUCAAACAUAUACCACUUUAACAAAAAACUUGUUUAUUUUGAAAUGCUUAAACUACCUCAAUCCCUACCUCACCCCAUAUUCCUCUACCUUUACUACCCAUUAUAGGGGUGUUGAUUGAUUUAAAAAGACAACGACCUAAUGAUCCAAACUAAAACAAUGUAGUCGAUGCAGAUUUGUUUAGUUAAAUUGGUUCACUUUAUCUUCAAUCUGAACCAAACAAAUAUACUUCGAAUAUAUCAUAUGUGCUUCUUUUAUGCACCUCAUUUGUGGGAGAGGGUGCUAUGCCAAUUCAGGUAUUUACAACUCAUUUUAAGGUCAUAUCUACUAUUGGCACACAUCCAGCGUUGAUCCACUUUAGGGGCUUAGAGUACGAAUUGGUUGUACUUGGUUGAUGGAGAAUUCAAGGUCAAGGCGACCACACAUAGACGAUGCAUGCUAGGAUAGUUAGACUCUCUAUUAUAUUAAUGUGUUCAUAUUGACUUUCUUGCAGUUGUAAUUAUUGUCUAUUUCUCUUAUUAAAAAAAAAAACCACUACUUUAAAUUAUUACACUAUAGAAUUAGUACCCCAACUAUGUUUGGAUAGAGAAGGUUCCGCCGGAUUAUGCUCGUUUGGUUGUUUCUGAUGUAACUGUCUCUAUGACUAUUUAAGCUCUUUUUAAUAAAUUUUCCAGUUUCAAAAAAAAAAACUGAAAUUAUGAAAAUGAUAGUUAAAAUAAUCAAAGAAAACAAGCUUACAACUAUUUUUUCAUAAAUAAUUUGCAGAACCUUUAAAUUUACAGUCCGAUGUUUGUUUUCAGAAACUUUAAAACUUCUAGGGCUCUAAUGCUUGGAUUACAGAUAGCUUGGGACCGAGGGUAUAGAGAUGUCAUUUGCAACGUGGAUUGCCGCGAGCUCCUCCGGGUGUUGGAUGAUCAGGAAACCUGGAUCUUCAUCCCUGUUUUGCGUGAAAUUCAUGAGCUGAGGAUGAGAAGUUGGAAUUUGACUCUUAUUGCAAUCAAUAGAGAUUGUAAUCAGCCCGCGGACUGGCUAGCUAAGAAGGGUGCAUCGUCUCCGUCUAUGGCAAUCGGUGUUCUUGAAGCUCGGCCGUCGGCGUUAGAGAUCCUCAUUUUGAGAGAUCGUUUGGCUAUUCCUUAGUUUUCAUUUAUUGUUGUUAGUUUUCCAGUGUAGCAAAAAAAAAAGAAACUUUAAAACUUCUGAAAAAUAUUCCAAUUUAAAUUUCAACUUCAUUUCAAUUUCGCUUGUACCUCACACUUUUUUAAGGGUAUUUUAGAAAGUAAUAAAAGUUGGAUGGUGUAGAAAGAGAAUAAUUAACAAUGUAUUAGUUGAAUGGUAGAUAAAUUAGACCCCAUAAAAUGAUAAAAAUGAUAAUACAAGUUUGAAUCACGUGUAAAUCAUCUAUUAAGCAAGGAACUAUCAAAAUUCCUUGUACGAGACCAAAAAAAAGUGAAAACCCCGCCAAAGAAAAAAUAAGGAAAAGGGAAAAUGACAUUUGGCAUUACAUAUUCUCUAAAGAAUUUGAAAGAAUUAAUUUUGAUGGUUUAUGCCAUCACAUCUAUAUAUAUAUAUAUGUAAAGGAGACUUGAAAAAAUAGCAUUAAUCACAUUAUCAAUAAGAGCAUUAAACACAUUAAGAAUGACUUCAAAGUCAUAAAUUAAAAAUAAUUUGUUACCAACUUUUGAGGUUCUCAUAAAAAAAUAAUUUUUUAAGUAUUAAUUAAAAAUAGUUAUAACUUUAAUUAUUAAUAAUAAAUUGAGAAAAAUUUAUAUAUUUUUUAAACAAAACAUAUAAAUAUAUUUAUAUGUAAACAGUAUUAAAAAUUAGAUUAAUUAAGUAAAAAUAAUAUUUAUUAAUAAAAAUCAUUAAGAAAAAAUAUUUGAAAUCAAUAUAUAUCUUCUUUAAUACAUACGUAAAUGAGACUUGAACCGUAGCAUUAAAUACAAUAGUAGAAAUGAAGACCCCUUGUUUAACUCUUUAAAAAACUCAUGACUUUUUCAUUUUUCAUAUUGCUUACUCCCUAUCUUUAAUGAUAAAAAACUAAAUUUUCCUAUAUAAACAAAUUAGACACUCAUAAAAUGAAACUAGGUAAUGUUUUCAUAUAUGAACAAAUACCGAGAAUUAAUAUUAAUUAUUAAUAAAUGAUUUAGACAAAAUAAUUUUAAAAUUAAAAUUUUCGCAAUAAGGUGUUUGUGUAUUAUUUGGAAAAAAUUAUAUAUUUUUUGAUCUAUUAUAUAUUAGUGAAAAUAACUUAACAAGGAGGAAGCUAAUUACAAACAAAAAAUUUACGUUAUUUAUAUUUUAAAAUAUGUUGUUUUUUUUUUAACUUAAAUAUGUUGUUAUUAUUAUAACUUAUUUGAUAAAAUAUUUCAAACUUACAUAAAUUUUUUAAUUUAAAAAAUAAAUUAAUUAUUAAAAAUAAUUCAAUACUAAUUAUUAAAAUAAAUUAUUAAAUUUGAGUAUAUAUUUAUUCACACAAAGAAGACUUUAAAUUGUCUCCAGAUUUUUAUAAUACUUCUAAUUAAUUUUUUUUAAUAUUCCUUUAAAGUAUAAUAAUUUUUUGUAAUGUUAAAAAAUUGUAAAUAAAUCCGUGCAUCGCACGGGUAUUAUAUCUAGUUACAAACUUAAAUUUCAAUCAUUGUUACCAUAGAUUUCCCCUGCUACAAGAUUUAAUAAUGGUUCGUCUCAUUCGUUCAUUAUAUUUGUGGUGUAGUAUAACACCUCUCCUUUGGAAAAUAUUAUAUUCAUAUCCCAAUUCCACUCCACAUCAAGAAAGAUAAAAAUAGAGGAGAGUAAAAUGAGAAAUAUAAUUGGUAUAUAUAUAUAUAUAUAUUUUAAUAUUGUUUAUCUUUUCAAGAGGGUUAAAUCGAGGUCCAAAAACUUAUCAUAAAGCCCGUGGUUCCAUUUGUGGGGAGCUCAUCUUUUAUUGACUUGGUAAAUAUCAAAAUAGAGGAGAUUUCUUUUACCAUGACCCAUUUUUCUACAUGCACCACCCGAUUAUCCUAAUAGGAUGAGAUGGGAAAGAGGUGGGAGAGAGGAGAAAAAAGAUUGGUAUAAAGGAACUCAUGUAGAUUAAAAAAUAAUAAAGUCUGAUUAGUUAAUUUAAUUCAAUGAGUGAGUUGUUGGUCAAGAAGAACUCAAGAUUGAAAAAGCCCCCACUUGAAGUGAGUUAUAAAAGUGCAGGUCAUAAACCAUUAACCAAUUUGACACCUCUACGUCCGCUGACGUCUAAGGUGGAUCAGUUAAAAUAAUGGUCCACAAUGAACCGCUACAUGAAUUUGAUAGUUUUGUAAAAUUAGGAACCAUGAUGGACUAUCUAAUUAAAAAAUUUCAAAUUAAAUAACAAUCAAACCAAAGAAUUUACCAAAAUAUAUUUUCUUCAACCUCAACCCUCAAUCUAAUUUCAUCUCUCUCACCAUAGGAGAACCCGAAGAAGACGCGGUCGCCGAGCCUCUGCUCACUCGCGAACAGUAAGUAUCCACUUAAGACCAUGGUAAAACAAGUCCAUAAUAGAUUUCGCCUCUACCUCCAAUAAAUCAUUUUUUGAAACUCAAUUACAUCUUGACUUCUUUAGCAUAAUGUUAGCAAUUUCUCUCUUGACCAAAACUAAUAGAGCUUCACCCUCCAGUAAAGCCCAUGGGCUUAUUUCACAGAAAAAGCCCAAUUUGAAACCCAAACAAUAUGCAUUUGACAGUUACUGUGUCAUGUGUGUGAUCUCUCUCUGCAAUCAUAAUGACAAGUGUUUUGUCAACAUAACCAAGUUUAUGCACACAACCAAGCCUUCUCUUCUGAUUCGAAGCUGAGACCACGUUCUCUACUCAAACAAACCAUCAAUUUCAAUUCCAAAACUACAAGGUACCUAAAUUUCUUCCAUUCAUCUCUAAUUUCUAGGGUUCUUACAAUUUCUCAAUCCCCAAUCAAAGAGCUAUAUUUCGAUUAGGAUCAUUGUCAAUUGAAUCUGAUUUGUUGAUUUUUGGUUUCUUUUCAAGGAUUCUGUACACUCCUGAGCUAUGAAGAUGGAUUUGAUGUCUGGUUACAAGGUAAAUUUUGACUCUAACUGUUUUUUUUUGGUUCAGAUUAAUUUCGUAAAUUUUGUAACUUUAUAUGUUUAUCUCAGUCUUAAUGCAAGCAACUCGAGGUUAUGGAAAUUAAUUCUUGUUUAUAAAAUAAUGAUCUUUUGUGAUUUUUGUGUGCAGGGGGUUGUGGGGCUUGUUUUUGGCAAUGAGAAUUCUUCAAAUGAAGAUAGGUGAGGUGUUUUUGUUUUGUUUUUAAAUAAUGUUCUUAAGAUUCUUUUUUUACGUUAUAUUGCACGUCUCUGCUUGUCUCUUUCAAUGGUUGCUGUGCUUUUAGUUCAUGAAUUGUGCCAGGUUUUUGGCGGUACUCUGUAUGUUUAGUUAAAAUUAUUUGUAGAAGAACCCUUAAUUUAAGUAUAUUAGCUUGGUUAGCCAUGCAUUUUAGGUUUUAGUAAUCCUGCAUUCCUGCUUCAGUAUAAUUAGGAGUGCUAAUGGUCUUGGUCUAUUGAUAUCCAAAUUAUGGUGGGUAUAGAUUUUUUUUUGGAUUAUUUUCAUUGUCCCUUGCUGGUGGGUGCCAGUUGAUCUGAACUAUUUUUUUUUUUGUUGAAAUUAAUUUCCAUUGCUUGUUGAAUUUGAUCUGCUGCCUUGGAUAUUAUUUUUCAGUUUUCUAAAGUUGUUCCUUGGCUGACUAUUUUGAAUUCGAAAGUUGUUCCUUGGCAGUGUUUUAUAGUUUUCAAUUAUCUCAGUGGAGAUUUUUUGUUUCUUUUCUUUUGAGUUUUGAUCAUCCGUGGCUUGAGCUAAAUACUAUAUAGACUGGAAUACCUUAUACUUAGCGCAUCAUUCUCUUUGAAUUGUCUCAAUAGCUACGUUGAGCGCUUGCUUGACCGGAUAAGCAAUGGUAAACUACCAGAGGACAGGAGAAAUGCUAUUAUUGAGCUUCAAGCUGUUGUCGCAGAAAGUCAACCUUUCCAGUUAGCAUUCGGGGCAAUGGGUACAUCCUGUCUCUCAAACUAAUUGGUUGAGUUUUUCUCUCUUGUUUAAUUGAAAAUUUUAAUACAUCUUUGCAGGCUUUCCUAUAAUGUUAAGCGUCCUUAAGGAAGAACGUGAUGAUGUUGAGAUGGUGGGAAAGCAUUCUUCCCUUUCAUGUCUACUGUCUACUUAUUUUUGCUGUUUCUUGUGUUACUCAAGGAUUCCGAUCAUCAAAUUCAUCUUUUAUAAGAAGAUAUUAGAAGGGAAAACAAAAAAAAUUGACAGUGAAAUGUGAGAACUUGAUUUUCAACCGUUCCAGUUUACCAUAUUGAAUCUGGAAUUGAAUACAGUCUUCACUUUAGGACUAUCUUCUUACGUGCCAAAUUGGUAUUAUGGUCAAAUUUUACAUUCAUGUGUUGUAUUUUAAAGGAAUUUCCUGACUCAUUUCGUAUCUGAAUUUUCUGUAUUUAAAUUAGAGCUUCUUCAGUUUACUAAUCGUGGACCUUUUAUGUUCUAAAAUAUAUUUGUCUUCCAUAGUUCCAUGCAUGAGUUCUAUGAUAUUCUUUGCAGCACUGGCCUUUAAUUUUAUUUGAUAAAGUUAUUUUUUGAAGAUACUUUAGACACCAAUGCAACACUCCAACCAUCAACUCACUGUGUUGGGUAGGAUGUGUAGGCUUUGCUGUUCUCCUUUGUUGAUGAGAGUGGUUCAGUUAGAUUCUGAUUUUUUCCCCAUUUAUGGAUGUUAAAUGAAAACAGUUCAAUAUUACAGUCUUGCUUCAUUCCUUGUUUCUCCACCAACCCUUGUUUCUUAGAUGGAUUUCUCUCCAUAUAGUUGUAUUGUACCGUAUGCUUUUUAUAAUGUAUAAAGUCUCAACAGUUUGUUUAUUGGAUUUUUUAUUCAUACAGGUUCGUGGAGCCCUAGAAACUCUUGUUAGUGCAUUGACUCCUAUUAAUCGUGCAAAAGGGUCAAGUAAUGAAGUUCAACCAGAUUUGAUGAAUACUGAUUUACUUUCUAGAGAAGCAGGAAGUAUCUCUCUUCUUCUAAGUUUGCUGGUAAGAAUAUAUUUUCUAAAAUCAUGGGGUGUGUUCUGACUUCUGAAUUAUAUCACUGGAAGUUUCCUAGCCUUCUUGGCUUAUCUAUUUAAAUCACAAUAUUUUCGUUUGUAAUUUUUUCUUUGGGAUACUUUGACAGGAAGAGGAUGAUUUCUAUGUACGAUAUUAUACUCUACAAAUAUUGACUGCCCUUCUCACUAAUUCUCCACAGAGGUAUUAGUUUUAUAGUCUCUAUGUUGGUUUGAUUCCUGAAAAUUUUAAAUCAAAGCACCCUUGCUGACUACCUCUUCAGGUUACAGGAAGCUAUAUUGACUAUCCCUCGUGGUAUAACUCGGUUAAUGGACAUGCUUAUGGAUCGUGAGGUACAAGACUUGUAGAUUCUAAAAUAAUCUCAGCAAUCUUUUCAAUCUUAAUAAUUGAUUUUUGUCACAUGUCUAUACAAAAUAUACUUGUUUAACCUUUCCACUUAUAAUUACUUGUUCAUACUUGGCUGUUAUUAUUCCUUGGAUAUUGAUCAAGUUUUACCUUCUAGGUAAUAAGGAACGAGGCCUUAUUGCUUCUUACUCAUCUUACCCGUGAAGCUGAGGUAAUCAUUUUGCUCUGAGUAUUUUUUUCCCUUUACUUCACUAACUUUUUUUUUUGUUAGUUGGCAAAAUUUUGUUAUCUGAAUAAAUUUAAUGAUUAUAGGAGAUUCAAAAGAUUGUCGUCUUUGAAGGUGCAUUUGAGAAGAUUUUCAGUAUCAUAAGAGAGGAGGGAAACUCAGAUGGUGGUGUCGUUGUACAGGUGCGACAUGGUUACAUUAUUACUUUACUUCAUUCAACUUGCUUUAUGAGCUAUAUUAUGUAAGAUAUUACUCCAUUAUUAUGGUGUACUUGUCCUAUGUUUACGAACAACAUAUAAGCUAUUUUUAAAAUAUAAUAAAAGCAUGUUGACGGGAGGCUAUUCUUAGUAUACUAGUAUUGUUGGUUAGUCUUUCAGAGAGCAUACCUGCUCCAAUAUGACAAUAUCUAAAACAAGGCUUAAUUAAACUUUUAGUCCCUUUGGUCCCCAUAUAAUAUUUUCAGCAAAUUUAGUCCCUCAAUUUUUAAAUUGUUACAAUUAAGUCCCCAAUCACUUUCAUUCUACUUGAAACUCUCAAAUUUUAAUUUUCUAAGUGAAAUCUUUACAAAUUAAUUGAUUUGAUUUAAAACCCCACCAACCAAAAUAUUUAUUUUAACCUAUUUAAACCCCAAUCUCACAUUUUAUAUAAUCCUUCAAAUUUUAUUGAAUUUUCACUAAAUUUCCGACUCUUAGACUUUCAAAUUUAUAUUAUAUCCCAAAUUCAUCUUAAAUCCCACAAUAGUUGAACUAGAGAAUUAAUAUUUAAGGUUUUUUUGUAUAUGAAAAUUGAUAAAGUGACCAAAGUUGCUUAAUUCUAAAAGUAUAGGUUUACAGUUAGCUUGAAAUAAUUUAAUGGGACCAAAAUUACAAAAUAUCCAAACUAGAGAGACCAAAAUAUUGCAAUUAAGCCUUAUAAUAAACAAAUUAUGUUGGCCAAUCAAUAUGCGCUCAUAUUUUUAUGAACAUUUUUUUUGCACCAUACAAUUAGAUUCUGCGAUUUGGAUAAGGUGAAUCAAAAUACGAUGGAUAGAAAAAAAGAUGCAGAAAUGACUAAUAUGCUGUCAAAUUUGUAUGAUUUAUCAUCUUUUGUUUACAUUAGGUAUUGAAAAUUGCAGGCUUAUUGUUGACAAACUUUUGGCAUCAUUUUGAGAAUAAUUAUACUUAAUACUUUAUAUUGCUUCUGGUCUAAAUAAUUCUCUGGUUACUGUGCAGGAUUGCCUUGAGUUGUUGAACAAUUUGCUUCGUAAUACUGCAUCCAAUCAGGUUUGUUGACUCUUGUGUUUAUUCAGUUCUAAACUUGGCAAUGAUUUCAAUUAUGCACUUUUUCAGGUACUACUAAGAGAGACUAUAGGACUUGAUUCAUUGAUAUCAAUUUUGAAGUUGAGAGGAAACUCUUAUACUUUUACUCAACAAAAGGUUAGAUUUUUUCAAUUUUUUAUUCUUUUUAGGCUUAAAUACUCUAUAGGUCCCUGAAAUUGUGCCCCGUACGAAAAUAAGUCCCUGAAAUUUUUUUUUCCGAUUCCGGAUCCCUGAAAUUGUUUUUUUAAUCAGAAUAAGUCCCUACCCAUGUUAUGUGCUUAUGUGGCUCUUAUUUUGCACAAUCAUCAUUUCCAAGUGGAUUUUUUAAUUUUCUUUUGUUACACAUGUGUUAAUCAAUUAUAAUUAACAAAUAAAUCUUAAAAUUAAACCCUAAAUCAAUUAAUUCCUAAUCCCUAAUCCCAAACAAAUAAAUCAGAAGAAAACAAAUUAUUAUUCACUAUGUAAUUCUUAUUCAUCUUCAUCAUGAAUUAAUUUUCAUCUUCAUCAUCUUCAUCACCUUCAACCUCUUCAUCUUCAUCAUUCAUCCACCCCCACCCUCAACCCCACUGCAAAAACCUCAUCACAACCCACCCCCAACCACCAAAAUCCCAAAAACCAACCCCCACCCCCAAAAACCCAGAAAUCUAGUUUCUCCCUCUCCCCCUGCAUCUCCCCUAAUCCAGAAACCCAACAAUCCAACAACACCAGCCCCCUCUCUCCCUUCAUCCACAACCAACAUGAACACCAACAACAACAUGAAAAUCAACCCACAGCCAACCCACAACCUUCACCAACAGCAACAACAAUGUAACAAAACCCACAAUGAGAGUGAGAAGAAAAAGCUGCGAUAACCCAACUCUAUGAAGCUAGAAAGAUCAGGACCCAGAAAUCGAUCUAGAACCAACCCCCACCCCCAAAAACCCAGAAUCGAACUAGAACACGAAAGAGGCGAAGUAGAAGAGAUUGAGACAGGAGACAAAGGGCCAGUGGCACCACCGAGCCACCACCGCACAUAUUGGCGGCCGCCGUCGCGAAGAAGCUAGGGGUUCUCAAACCUGAAGCUCCCUUCCUUCACCUUCUACCUCUGCUUCUCUUUCUCCUUCUUCGACUUUCCUUUCCUUCUCUUAGGUUGAGUUCUGAUUAUAUUAGAUUUGGGAAUUUAGGGAUUUAUGAUUAGUGGGUUUAAUUAGAUUUAGGUUAAUUAGGUAAAUAAUUUUUUAUAUUUAAAUUUAAUAGUUUUUUUAUCCCAUGUGUAUUUAAAAAUAAAAGAAAAAGCCACGUGUAAAUAUUGAGUCAGCAAAAAAUAUGCCAGAUAGGCUUAAACCACGAGCAGGGACUUAUUCUGAUUAAAAAAACAAUUUUAGGGAUCUGGAAUCGGAAAAAAAAUUUUCAGGGACUUAUUUUCGUACGGGGCACAAUUUCAGGGACCCUUAGAGUAUUUAAGCCUUCUUUUUAUAUGCUAUUAGUGAAUCUUUAUUGCUAACUUUUGCUAUGCACAUCUUGCCAGUAGACAAUCAAUCUACUCAGUACGUUAGAAACCAUUAAAUUGUUACUAAAGGGAGGUUCUGAGGCUGAUCCUGGGAAAGAUAUGAAUAAACAGACAAAUAAGACAGCCCUGGUUCAGGUUUGUCAAGAACAGUCUCAUGUUGAUUGCAGAAAAUACCAAUCUGGUUUUGGUGAUCUUAUAAUCUGUUUUGUGGAAUUGGUUGUAGAAAAAGGUAUUGGACCAUUUGUUGGUAUUAGGUGUUGAAAGUCAAUGGGUACCUGUUGCAGUUCGCUGUGCGGUAAGAUAACUUUGCUCCCCC
RNAcentral lists this long non-coding RNA (47879 nucleotides) under Lotus japonicus. RNAcentral describes it as "long non-coding RNA (LJAP_LNC001356)". The record is from RNAcentral. Lineage: Eukaryota; Viridiplantae; Streptophyta; Magnoliopsida; Fabales; Fabaceae.